AGCGACCUUAUUACUACCUGGAGGGAUAAUAUUAAGCAUUGAUAAUGCAUUAUAUUGUAGUAGGUCUCAAAGAAACUUAUUAAGUUUCAAAGUUAUUCGCCAAAAUGGCUAUCAUGUUGAGACGGCUAAUGAAGGAAAGGUUGAAUACCUUUACAUUACUACAAUUAAUGUAGAGAAGAAAAUUGUGCAUGAAAAAUUACCUGCAUUUUCUUCUGGGUUGUACUAUACAAGUAUAAGUACAGUUGAAUCACAUGCCGUACUAAAUAAAAGGUUUACUAAUUUUAAUGAUUUUAUCAUUUGGCAUGACCGGUUGGGUCAUCCCGAAUUUAAUAUGAUGCGCAAAAUCAUUGAGAAUUCACAUGGGCACACCUUUAAAACCCAAAUAUCCUUCAAUCAAAGGAAUUCUCUUGUGCUGCUUGUUCUCAAGGAAAGUUGAUCAUUAAACCAUCAACAGUUAAGGUUGGAAUUGAAUUUCCUGCAUUUCUGGAACAUAUACAAUGUGAUAUAUGUGGACCAAUUCAACCUGCAUGUGGACCCUUUAAAUAUCAUAUGGUCUUGAUAGAUGCUUCUACAAGAUGGUCAAAUGUGUGUUUAUUAUCAACUCGCAACAUGGCUUUUGCGAGAUUGCUAGCUCAAAUAAUAAGAUUGAAAGCACAAUUUCCAGACUAUACAAUAAAGACAAUCCGUCUAGAUAAUGCUGGUGAGUUUACAUCUCAGACAUUUUAUGACUAUUGUAUGUCUACUGGUAUAAUAGUUGAACAUCCAGUUGCGCAUGUUCACUCUCAAAACGCUCUAGCGGAAUCAUUGAUUAAACGUCUGCAAUUGAUAGCUAGACCAUUACUAAUGAGAACAAAGUUCUUUGUGUCUAUGUGGGGGCAUGCUAUUCUGCGUGCAGCAGCGCUUGUAUGCAUAAGGCCGGCCAAUUAUCAUGAAUUCUCCCCAUUACAAUUGACUUUUGGUCAACAGACAAAACAUUUCCCAUCUUAGAAUUUUUGGAUGUGCGGUGUAUGUCCCAAUUGCUCCACAACAACGCACAAAGAUGGGACCCCAAAGAAGGUCGGGAAUAUAUGUUGGGUAUGAAUCUCCUUCAAUUAUAAAAUAUUUGGAGCCUAUGACUGGAGAUUUAUUUAAGGCAAGAUUUUCUAAUUGUCAUUUUGAUGAAUCAGUAUACCCAACAUUAGGGGGAGAACAUAAGUCGUUGGGAAAAGAGAUAGAUUGGAAUUCAUCAUCUCUAUCUCACCUGGAUCCUCGAACAAACCAAUGUGAGCAAGAAGUUCAAAGAAUAAUUUAUUUGCAGAACAUUGCAAAUCAACUACCAGAUGCAUUUACUAAUCUUUCAAGGAUUACUAAAUCGCAUAUUCCAGCAGUUAAUGCUCCAGUUCGAGUUGAUAUCCCGAUGGAACAAAUUGUUAAGUAAAAUGAGUCUAGACCACAUUUGAAGCGUGGUAGACCAAUUGGUUCCAAGGAUAAAAAUCCUCGAAAGAGAAAAGGAAUAAAUGAUCAAGAUGAUCAUGGGUUGAAAGAAAUUUCUAUAGAUGAGACCCAAGUUAUAACAAAUAAUGAUGAGGAAGUUCGAAAUUCUGAAAACAAUGAAAUUUCAAUUAAUUAUGUAUCGACAAGAAAGUUGUGGAACCAAAAUAAUGUUGUGAUUGACAACAAAUUUGCCUAUAAUGUCUCUAUUGAAAUAAUGCAACAAGAUGAAGGUUUUGAGCCAAAAUCUCUUCACGAAUGUAGACAGAGAAAUGAUUGGCCAAAUUGGAAGGAUGCAAUUCAAGCUGAAUUGACUUCACUAGAAAAACGUAAAGUUUUCGGACCGAUAAUCCGAACACCUGAAGGUAUCAAAUAGUGGGGUACAAAUGGAUUUUUGUAUGAAAAAGAAAUGAGAAAGGUGAAGUCAUGAGAUAUAAGGCCCGACUUGUUGCUCAAAGUUUUUCUCAAAGACCUGGCAUUGAUUAUGUGGAGACAUAUUCUCCAAUGGUAGAUGCAAUCACCUUCAGAUAUCUCAUAAAUCUGGCAGUUCAUGAAAAACAUGAAAUGUGUCUAAUGGACGUUGUCACGGACUAUCUAUAUGGCUCAUUGGACCACAACAUUUUCAUGAAAAUUCCUGAAGCAUUCAAAGUGCCUGAAGCAUACAAAGAUUCAAUAGAAACUUGUUAAUAAAGCUUCAGAAAUCUCAGUAUGGAUUAAAAUAAUCAAGAAGGAUAUGGUACAAUCGUCUGAGUGAAUAUUUGUUAAAUAAAGGGUACAAAAAUGACCCGAUUUGUCCCUUCAUUUUCAUUAAACGGUCGGGGUCUGAAUUUGUAAUAAUAGUUGUGUAUGUUAAUGAUUUGAACAUCAUUGGCACUCGUAAAGAGCUGUUAGAAGCUGUUGAGUGUUUGAAAAAGAAUUUGAAAUGAAAGAUCUCGGCUAGAAAAAAUUUUCUCUUGGCCUACAGAUUGAGAAUUUGUCAAAUGGAAUACUUGUUCAUCAAUCAACGUACACAGAAAAAAUACCAAAGCGUUUUUACAUGGAUAACUCACAUCCAUUGAGUACUCCAAUGGUGGUAAGAUCGCUUGACAUUAAUACAGAUCCAUUUCGACCUCAAGAGAAUGAUGAAGAGACUCUUGGUGAUAAAACUCCUUACCUUAGUGCGAUUGGGGCACUAAUGUACCUUGCUAACAAUACUCGACCAGAUAUCUGUUUUGCAGUAAGUCUUCUGGAAAGAUUCAGUAUCUCCCAAAAAAAGACAUUGGAAUGGUGUUAAACACAUACUUCGAUAUCUUCGGGGGACCAUGUACAUGAGUUUAUUCUAUUCCAAUGAAUCCAAGUCAGAACUGAUUGGUUACGCAGAUGCAGGGUAUUUAUCUGAUCCGCAUAAAGCACGAUCACAAACAGGCUAUUUGUUUACAAAUGGAGACACGACAAUAUCUUGACGAUCAAUAAAGAAAACGUUGGUAGCCACUUCUUCAAAUCAUGCAGAAAUAAUAGUCAUCCAUGAAGCAAGUCGAGAGUGCGUCUAGUUGAGAUCAAUGACCCAUCAUAUUCAGGAAAUGUGUGGUUUUUUUUUGAAAAAGAAUAUACCAACCACAAUGCACGAAGAUAAUGCUGCACGUAUAGCUCAAUUGAAAGGAGGAUAUAUCAAAGGAGACCGGACAAAGCAUAUCUCACCAAAGUUCUUUUUCACGCAUGAUCUUCAACAAAACGGUGAGAUAGAAGUUCAACAAAUUCGUUCAAGUGAUAAUCUUGCUGAUUUAUUCACUAAGGCAUUGCCAACAUCAACGUUUGAGAAGUUGAGAUACAAGAUUGGAAUGCGCCGUCUCUGAGAUAUCAAGUAAAGUUUUCAUUAGGGGGAGCGAAAUACGCGUUGUACUCUUUUCCUUAACUAUGAUUUUGUCCCAAGUUGGGUUUUCCUGGUAAGGUUUUUAACGAGGCAACAUUCAAAUCGUAUUAUGAGAUAUGUGGACUCUUUUUCCUUCACGAGGCUUUUUCCCACUGGGUUUUUCCUAGUAAGUUUUUAACGAGGCACAUAAUCUAUGGAUAUCCAAGGGGGAGUGUUGUAAAUCCAUUGUAUAUGUGGAUGAUCCAUUUGAGUUAUCCAACAAUUAAUUGGAUUCAUGUAUUAGUGUUUCCAAUGUGAUAAGAUUUCAAUGUGAUAUGAACCUUGAUGAUAGCUAUGUAUAAUUCCAAGGUGACCUUUGACUAUGAUAUCUCAACACUAUAAAUAGAGAUAUCAUUUACCAUUGUAUGAUACACUUGAAUAAAAAAAACUUUCUCCCCUAUCUUAUACUUCUUGUCUUUUUCUUCUUAUAUUCUGUGCUAUCUUUACAAUAAUUAACAAAUUUUGUCUUUGAUAUUAAAAGUCUAAAUUAUGUUGGUAUUGUACACGAAAACACAGUUUAAAUAAUAAGGAAAAGGAAAGACAAACUACAUAAUAAAUGAGCAUAAUCAUAUAACGUAAUUACUUGUAAAAAUUAAUAAUAACAAAAAGGAUAUUGGUGAAGCAAAAGAUUACAACCUAAAGUUACAAUGGAAGAAAAAUUAAAGUGAUCUAGAGUGAGGUUGUAUUUAUUGUGUUUUUUGAUUCGGUGAUAUUUUCGACUCUUUAUUGUACAAAUUGCCGGUUGAGUACUGCGCCUAGUAUGAUGUAUUUAUUAGUUGGUUCGGAUAUCACAUCUAGUACAGAUUUUCUAUUGGCUAGUUUCCGUACCACAUCUGGUACAUGUUAUAUAUUAAUUGGUUGGGAUAUCACGUUUGGUUUAAUUGUUUGUCUUUUUGUUAGAGAAUGAAUUGGGCUAUUUGAUUGUAAUAAUGUUGGAUGUAUUUUUUGUUGUUGCUAAGACUUAUUGGACUAUAUGUGUAUGUCUUCUUGUUAACUAAGUUUAAGUUACUUGUUUGCACUUCAUAUAUUUGGGGCUCGUUGAUGAUCUUAUAGUGUUGAUUUUGUGUAUUGAUAUUAUAUUUUUUAUUCUUUUAUUAAGUACAAAGUAUAUUUCAGCGGUUGCUAACCUACCUCAGUUGUGAGUUUCGCACUUUCUACAUUUAAGGUUGAGUUGUUUUAUUCGGACUGCCAAGAUUUCAUCUCUAUCCCUCAAGUCCAUUGUCGGGAUUCAGAUAUCGUUUUUUGGGGUUGCAACCCCAUAUUGUAGACUAUGUAAGAUGUUUAAUUAUUUAUGUACACGACUUUUAGAUUUUAGGAAAUUAUUAUUGCAUAUUUACUGUUAAUUCUUAUGACGGUUUCCUUUAUUUAUGAGAUUGUUAACUUUAAAUGAUUUAGUUGAGUUUGUAUUGUUUUGACGAUUAGUUCUUCCAUUGGGGGUGGGGGGUUUAGUCAGAUUGUCUCUUACUACAAUUUAGAUUGGAACAUUACAAAACACUCUUUUUAAAUUUUUAAGAUAUAAAAAAACUCCACAAGUGAGUUCAAAUUUUUCACAUUAAUUGACCUAUCAAUGUUUGAAUUUGUGAUGAUAAAUACGGAUAUCACUAUCAAUUAGUUUUUAAGCAUCAAAAGAUGAAAAUCAUAAUUGCAAAUUAAGAAGAACAACAAAUUCCAGAUAUCUUUAAAUAUAUACAAAAUGAGUUGCAAAGUAAAUCUCAAAAUAUGCGCUAAAUAGAUCAAAAUGACUUCGAACUUAACAAGUUUUAUUUAAUGCACACUUAAACCCUAUAUGUUAGUAUAGUUAUCCCCUUGAACAUGGUAAUUUGGAAAUCUCAACUCUUCUAGAUGUUAAUAUGAUAAAAGAACGUGAAUUGGCUCAAUUUUAAGUACGUGGAAGGAAAGAAAAUUGAAAAUUUGACUUUAAGUAUAAUAUUUUUCAACUAUUUAUUGCCACAUAAUUAUUAUAAUAAUAUAUUUAAGCCAAUUAUAUUCCUCUUUGUUUAAUAUGCAUCGUGCAUUUUGUCCCAAUUUCACAAAAAGAAGAAUUACUUCAAUGGGUACCUUUUAAUAAAAAAAAUUAAACUAUAACUCUAUUUAUCUAAUCCAAAUAAAAAAUGAUUUAACUAAAGUAAUGAAGUCAAAAUGAUGUAAUUUUUAUAUUUUAAAAAAAAGAAAAUAUAAAUACUUAUUUUUGCAGUGAGUACUUAUUUUAAGUUUUUAACUAUGCAUUAUCAUUAUUUUCGGUUCAAAUUGUUUGAAAACUUUUUUUCUAUAUAAUUUCGCAUUAGAUGCAUUGAUUGUUUCUUUUAAUAAAAAAGGUCUACCGUAAAACGAAUUUGAUUAUAUAUGAUUAUUUUAAAAAACAUAAUAGAAUUAAAAUGUUUAUUCCAAUUUAAUUUUUCAUAUUGGCCAGAAAAGGAUAAUUUAAAUAAUUGGUAAGACCUGAAAAAAAUUUAAACAUUAUUCUAGAAAAUGUCACUUGGACAAUAAAAUUUACUAGCGUAUGUAACACACUUUUAAGGGUUGCCAGCAUCCAGGAGAAGUGUGACUAUUAAAUUGUCAAGUUAAUGAGGAUAACUAAAUCAACAUAAAGCUUAGGUAUGCACUAAAUUAAUUUCAUCAAGUUUAGAGAAUUGAUCUAUUCCGUCUUUGAAUCAUAAGCUUAAGUUAAUAUUAAAAGUGCGUGAAGAACACUUAUCUAGACUUAGUAGGGUCGAAAAGAGCUCUUGGGGGCUGUUGUAAUCGAUCGGCAAGUGAAAAGGGGGAAAAGAAAUUCAAUAUAAAUUUUUUAAAAAUCUGGAAAUUUGAUAUACCACUGAUAUAGAGUGAUAUCUAGAUCGUAUACAAUGAUAUUUUCACGACCCGAGUAUACAAGCUAGACGUGGCCGGCACUCAAGAACCAUUUAUGGUCCACAAGCGAACCCUCAUUCUGGAUGACUACAAGCAAAAGACUAACUUAAGAAUGCAAAAGCUUAAAAAUGAAAUAAAAUUUCAUAUAACUUAAAUCCAAAGAAAACUCUAUACAAUAAAGCAUAUGCAACUCGCCAUAAAAGGCAACUUUAGUAUUUAAAACAUUUAACAAAAUAAAUGAAGACUUCUAAGUUCUACUGUCUAUCUAUGAAGCCUCUAAACGACCUCCUAACAACUGAAAGUAAAUGUAAUCCUCCGAAAGAAAGGAGACUCACCAUAGUUAACUCGAACUCUAUGUGACAUCAACGAAGCUCUGAUUAAAAUCCUUAAUACCUGGAUCUGCAUCAUGAGAAGAUGCAGGCCAAAUGGCUCAGUACGUGGAAAGUACAAGCAUGUAAGGGGAAUUCUAAAGCAUAACAUAAGCUUGAACUUGAUAAAAAUGAAAACAUACUUGCCUCUUUUUAAAAUUAAUCAACUCAAGGAUUACUCAAAGAUAUUAAAAACUACUAACUUACUCAACUCACAAAAAGUCAAGGAUAAUAUAAUCAACUCGGAGAUUAGAUACUCAAAUCAAGAUUAGAUACUCAACUUCAAAUAUUAGAUACUAAAAAUCUAAGAUAUAAUACUCAGCUCUGGAUACUCAACUCAUGAAUACUUAACUGAGCUCAUUUAUUAUAAGCAUUUUAAAACAAGUUCAAUGUAAAUAAAAAGGAAAAUUUUUUGUAACUUGAUGUAAACUCAUAAUCAUAAUAUCAUUAAAAAAAUAUCAUGCUCCUUCUCAAAGUCUACCUCUGCAAUGCAUGAAUGAAGUCUCAUACCCACAUUCACACUAAGCAGAAUCACUUGAGGAACCAUGCAAUUACUGUUGUGAGAGUUUCUCUAACCGACAACCAUCACUUAAUUGUUAUAGUGAUGGUACAUCAUUAUUAUGCCCACGCUGCCCGUUCAUUCUACACCUUGCCAGAGUAUAAGAUCUAAACUACUAAGUGGAUCAAGUAGUCUAUUGUGAAUAGGGUUUAUCUAAAAAGUAUGACCUUUUUUUAAUCCAUGAUAGCUACAUGGUUUAUGGAGAUUUUAGUUAAUAUGAACUCGCAACCCCAUAUCGAUGCUCAAUACUACUCCCAAAAAUAUACUUAGCUCAUAUGUUUUAAAAUAACUUCUUCUGUGAUCUGAGAUUAAUGCUCAAAAGCUAUCUUGAAAAUCUCGGUUUCCUCUCUACUGAAAACUAGCCCCAAAGGCUCAUUUGGAAAACUCAGUUUCCUUUCUUGUUUAAACCUCUUUUGAAAAUCUCAGUUUCCUCUCAUCUUAAAUAUGAAAAAAUUUACUCUUGAGAAUACUUAGUUCUCAUAUAUCAUUUUAAAUAAAAAAAAGAACUAAAAUCUUAAUGAUACUCAAUUUAGAGAGUCCAUGCAGAACAUAUGGGCAUGAACGACUCGACUCGAAGAGUUAAGUAUCUACAUGAAACUCAUGCAUACAAAUCUUCUCAUUCUCUUACUUACUUCCUCAAAACUUAUUUCAAAUCAAUGUUUGAUCCCAAAGGAAAUCAAAUACCUUCUUGAACUUUACUCUUGACUCUCUCUUGAAUGUUAAUUAUUAAUUCAAGAGUUAUGGUUCAUGAUAUGAAGGAUUUAGGUGAUAUUUUGCCUCAUGACUACAUUCUACUCACUCUCGCGCUCACUUAAUUGAGUCUUGAAACAAGUUACUAGAAGUUGUAGAAGACUCCUCAAAAGGACUCAUAGAAACUCUCUCUAAAGGUUUGGAAGAAAUCUCGAAACUUAAUCUUAACUUUACCUUGAAUUUGAAUUAUUAAUUGAAGUUUAUAAUUCAUGUAUGAAUGAUUUCUAAGUUUUUAUAAGUAUUUUAAAGUAUUUAAAAUCAAAAGGAGUGAAGAUACACUUCAAAUUAGCUCAAACAGGACAACCGAUGGAAAAGAAGUGGGGGCAGGCGACCCUGGCGCGUUCUACGCGUAGGUAACUAGCCCCUAACUUUAGAGACUACAUAUGGGCACACUGAAAGCGUGCUUCCACAGCCAUUUGGGCUCAUCUGGGGUGCGCCGCGCCAGCCUCUCCCUAGGCAAAGUUUCGACGAAUUCGCCUCUCGUUUUCUUCCCCUAAAUCGUUUUAAUCGAUUUCUUUUCCCAAAUUAUCCUUCGAUUCAAAUUACACAACCUAAGUACAUAUUAAUACACUCAAAACAAUCAUUUUCAUCUCAAGAAAUCAUCAAAAACCCAACAAGCCAAUAUUUAUAAUGAACCUCAAGAACACCAAUCAAGAACUUAAAUCCUUCAACUUUUUGUGAAUGAAAUUACGCUCAAACUAACAUGUUUGGUGUGUGGGUGAACUAACACAGCACUAUGGAAUAUUACAUACCUCUUAGUAAGUGAACCUAUGGCAAAAUUCCACAACAAGACGCAAGAAUCUCGGCGAAUAUUUGAUCCUCUCCUCUUUUCUCUUUUUGACCUCUCAACUAAACCCUAGGAGUAUAGGAUUAUAAAACUAAACCUAAAACGACUAUACCCUGAAAAUAUUACUAAAAAUGAAUUGAAUCUGAUUGGGUAAGAAAAAAACCAAAAUACCCCUUACUAUUUUCGUGUAACUUUCCUUAACUUGAUAGCCUAACUUCAAAAGGUCAUAUCUCACUCAUCCAAACUCGAAACAUAGCAAACUUGGUGGCGUUAAAAAGAUAAUUAAACAUAUGUCCUAAGGUAUAUUGUAGCAUACCUAAGCAUCCUUUUAUAAGAAUUAUGACCGUUUGAAGUUUAUAAAAAACUCAUACUUAGCUAACUCUCCAAAUUUUAUAUUUUUGUUAUUUAAAAUUUAGUUUUAUUAGAACUCAAGGUGCUACAACUGACCUGACCUUGAUACUAAAGAAAUUUUGAAUUCUUUGACAAAAACUUACUUACUUUGAAGGAUGGUUUGAGUCUUAGUUCAAAAGAUUUUCUAGGGUGUUACAGAUAUACGGGUAGUACAUUGAUACCAUGAGUCAUGGUAUAGCUCGUGAUUAAUCGCCUUUGUCAAUUUUCAGACUCUAUCAAGUUUUUAUGGUUCAUAAAAAAUGGGUUUUACUAUUAAAGUACAAGUCGUACUCUUACUCAUGGUAUUUGGGACUAAAUUUUUUACACUGGAGCAUCUAUGGUAAAACAAAUUUUUUAUUCAAGAAUCGUAUUGACAAGCACUUAGCAGUGUUGACACUGCAACAAAUAUAACUUUUAGCGGCAAUAAAUAGGCACAUUAAUAUAGACUUCUAAAGUCUUUACCGACUUUAUUUAAGUGUCAUUAGAUCCAAAUUCGCUAAAAUCUUUUGGGACAUAUACUAAAAGUGUUAAUUGCUGCUAAAUAUAUAUUUAGUGGUAAUUGCUAAUUAAUUACCGCUAAAGAUCAUUUUUUAUGUAGUGUAAAAUGAAAAUUCAAAGAUCAUAAUUUGGUGGGUAUAGUGGGACACAUAACUCUUCAUAUUCAAGGAGAUAUACUCAUAUAAAUUUGAUCCUAAAAUAUCUUAUGCAAAAACUUAAUAAGUAUUGUUGUUGAAGUGAAAAUAAUUGAAACUUAGUAUAGAUUUAAAAUUUUGAACUAUCGUAGUGUAACAAAAAAAAAUUCUAAGCUAAGACUAGAACUAAAUUGAAGAAUGCAUGUCACACGUGUCACGCCCCGAGCCUAUAUCCAGGAUGUCGCCAGCACUCGAAGAUCAUUGUUGGCCUCAAACGAACCCUUGGCUUAGCUUGAUUACUCAGCGGAAGACUUAAAGCAUUAAUACAAGGAUUAAGAUGCUAACUAACUCAAUUGUCUGGAACUGAAUUCAAAAUGUUUUAAAAAUAAACAUUUACCUUAGCCAAAAUGGCAACUCAAAUCUGAAAAUAAAUUAAUAACAAAAUUAUGAUGAAAGAACUAACAUUUGACUGUAUAUCUAUGAAAACUCUAAUAACUGAGACAGAUGUUGGUACAGACUCCAUAACAUCCUAAUAAACUAAACUAGAAAGCAAUGAAAACGGAUCCUCCGAAAAACAAGGAGGUUCACCAACUGACUCUAAACUGCUCACUCGAUCAACGGUGGGCUAGAAUGUCAAUCCUAGUUACCUACAUUUGCAUCAUAAUACAAUGCAGGCCAAUUGGAAUCAGUAUGUUGAAUGUACGAGUAUGCGAGUUAGAGUGCUAAAACAACAUAUGCUUGAAGUAGAUUAUGAAAGAAACACUUACCUUAGCUAUUGUCCAAUGCAUAAAUGAAGUCUCGUACCCUCAUUCAUACUAAGCAGAAUCUCUUGAGGAACCAUGCAACUACUGUUGUGGGAGUUUCUCUAACCGAAAACCAUCACUUAAAAGCUACAGUGAUGAUACAACACUUAACAUUUGUAUUCCCCCAAAAUAUAUUUAGCUCAUAUGUUUUAAAAACAUCUACUUCUGUGAUUUGAGAUUAGUGCUCAAAAAAUUAACUUAAAAGCUCUGUUGGAAUCAAUGUUCCCUUUUGUUUCUUAAAUGUGAAAAUAUUUGUAAACUCUUAAGGAAUACUUUGUUCGCUUAUAACUUUUGAGAAAUGAAGUCAACUCUUUACUUUUCGAUUAACUUGAAACUAAAGCCUUAUAACAAAGUUAAAGACUUAUGAAACUUGAAAUGAACUUCUUAUCAUUAUCUUUUCUCUUUACUCAACUUUAUCCUUAAGUCUUAAAACAAAGUUUAAAGCAUUUGUAAAAGACUUCUUGAAACAACUCUAAGAAAUUUCUAGAAUUGGCUCAAAACUUCCCUUGAUUUGAAGUUACGGAUUCAAAGUUUUAAUUCAUGUUACUUAAUGAUUUAUCCUUAGAAGUCAUUUAGAGUAGUUAGAAUCAAUAUGAAGUGUGAAAACACUUAAGAAAAUAUUAAACAGACGGAAUAAUGAAAAUUGGGUGAAAACCAAAGUUCUGGGUGUGUCUGGGCGGACCAUGCCAGCCUCACUUUACUGAGGCACCAUUCUAGCACACUGCUGGCAUGCCACCCCAGCCCUCCUGGCAUUAUGGGGGCGCGUCGCUCCACCUGUUACUUAGGAAAAAAUCUGGCAAAUUUUUCCUCUCGUUUCUGACCAUUAAUCAUUUUAAUUCGAUUCUUUUCUAUAAAAUUCACUUUAGAUUCAUGUACACAUAUCAUGUAUACAAGUAUCUAACUCAAUUAAUUCAAGAACAAUACCUAUAUCAUCAAAGAAAUCCUAAAUCUUAACUUAUGUUUAAGAAGGAAAGCAAUUCAAGAACAUUGAAAAAAUCCAAUUUUUUUAGUAUGAAAUUACGCUGAAUCAAACAUGUAUGGCACGUGGGUGAAUGAACCCAACAUUAUGGAAGACUCAAAUACCUUUUCAGGGAUCACCCCCGAUGAAAUCCACAAUUUAUUUUCAACGAACUCAACGAUCUUGGUUCAUUUUUCCUUUCUUCUUCUCUUGUGUUCUUUCUCCAAAACCCUAACCUUUCUUCAAAAGUGUCAAACUGAGCAAGUUCAUUUUAUACCCUUAAUAAUAUUAACAAAAACAAAUUUAAUUAAUCGGGUAAGAAAAAGACCAAAUUACCCUUUUAAUUUCUGGAUUGGACAUUUUCUUAAUCCAACAGCCCAACUUCCAAAUAGCAUAACUCACCUAUCCGAACUCGAAACGUUGCAAACUCCAUGGCGUUGGAAAGAUGGUUCCAAGUGAUUUCCAACCAUAUCUUGAACUAAACCUAACUCAUCCUAAGAUAGGAGUUAUGGACGUUUGAAGUUGACCAAAAACUCACUGUUUCCUAACUUAAGAAAAUUUGUAGAUUUUAAUUCUUUCCAAAACUAACUAAUUAGACUUUUAAGCUUCUUCCUAGCUAUUUCAAUUUGCGAUAUGUUGAAACACAGCUCUAUCCAAUAAUGAUGAUCCCUACGUAAACUAUACAUCUCUAUCCUUCUCUAAAAAUGCAUGUUGGUUUGUUUUUGUGGUAGCCUCCUUCGAUUCUUGUUAGUUUCAUAAAUUUGGUAACCCUAAUAUUAACCAACCAUCCAAAUAUUUGACCCUAAAUUACAUAAGCUUAAGUUGUAGCGUAGCAUACCUAUGUUCGGAUAUAUAUAUUAUUAAUCAUAUGUUAAGAUAUAGUAUUUAUUAUAGAAUAAAUAUUUGUUCAGUUUUAAUAGAUUAUACAUUCGUUUACGGUGUUUAUUUACUUAUAUAGUAGAUACUUUAGUAUGUUGAAUUUUAGUUUAUACAUAGAGGAUUAAAUCAUCAAUUCUUAUAAGUAUAAAGUUUUUUGUUCUCAAUCUAGAAUGGUAAUUGGACAUGUCAUUGUGUACAAGUGUAGCACAAGAUUAUAUGUAAUUUAUCCUGAUUAUGUGAACGUUAUAGUUCCAACUUCUUGUCCGAGUCAUUUUGUAUGUAUUGAAUGCGGCCGGGUAGAGAUAGUUGUUUUAGACUGACUGACAAAAAUGUAUUCUAUAAACUAUUAAAUGUACUUAUAUUCUUAAUCCUGAUAUAUCUAUUAUGAUCUGUAUAUAUUAAUUAUCAUUUUGAUUUAUUAAAAGGUGAGAUUCUUGAGAUGGGUCAAUAUGCUUGGUAAGUUAGAUGAUAAUAAUAUAUAUUGGUGAAACAAUAAGUUAGUUGAUGGAAUUCAUGUCUCGCUAUAGAGAUUGAUUGAUAUACCUUUUUGAGAAACUUAUAAGGUUUCAUUGUGUCAACCCUUGCAAGUGGAUUUAUUAAUCUGACACAUGAAAUAAGUUAAGUAGUAUUAUAAAGAAAAUUAAUCAUUAAGUUAAAUUCGUGAGUAAUUUAAUCUGUUGAUUAGUAUCUGAAAUCUUAACAUGGAUAAUUACAUGAGUGUUUAAUGGGGAAUUUUAAAAUAUAAAUAGAGAAGUGCAAUUACGAAUUUCUAGUGGAAUGAUUUGUAAUUUAUUAUUGUAAGAAUAAUUCAAAUUGAUUAUUUUGAAUUAUUUCCAUUAUAGGAAGCCUCAAAACUAAUUAUGUAGUCUCUACAUUGUCUCAUAUUUAACUAGAACUCAUAAUCGCAUUUCCUAAGGGAGGAGAAAUUCUCUUUUUAACCUAGAAAAAGAUUGAUUACUUUUCUAUUCAUACGUGCCCACCCAAGUAUUGAGAGAAUUCAGACGUGAACUUGAGAUCACUUUAGAAGACCAUAGCUAUCUUGUAGAUUUUGUAGAUUCACUAUUGAAGGACUGUCUAAUUUGGAAAUUUGCUUGAAGAUAUUUUUUCACGCUUCAAGAGGUAUUUAUUGAAUUAAAUUUCUGCAAGUUUAUGUGAAUAAGCAAAGAUUAUGUGUAUUCGAGCAUAACUGAAUUUGGUAGUCUAUUAGUCAUGUAAGUUGUAAAGAUUUUGGUAUGUUUCCGCUGUGCAUAUAAUUUUUUAACAACUUAUGCUCGGAAGAGUUAAUUGAUAGUGUAGAGCAUAAGUUGUCGUGUAAAUCUAAUAUACCUGUUAAAAACUUUACACCGAAUCAAUAAAAAUGUAUAAUAAAUUUUAAGCCCAAUAAAUUAUGAUAAAGUUCGAUAACUAUAAUGUUCCAAUUUUGAAUUCGUCUAAUUUAAGUAUAAUGUGAUUCUCACAACAAGUGUUGGAUGAGGAAUGAGGAUUGAUUAAUUAAUAGUAAUAGUUUGAACAGAAAAGGACCUAAAAUAUCUUCGAAGUAUUGAAAAUGGUACAAAAUUAUCCUUCAUUCACCUAUUGUCUCCAAAAUACUCUUUUCACCCACCUAUUGGCUCCAAAAUACCUUUGUCAUCCACCUUUGCGUUCAAAAUUGACCACUUAUUUAACGGUUUCAAAUUUAAACUAUUUAAUUUUUUUUAAAAUACUUGGCGCUCAAUUAUUGGAUAUAAUGUAAUUUAUUAAUUAAUAUCAUUUAUAAACCAACCCACUACCCAUCCAUUACUAAUGAAGCCCCUCCCAAUUAAUAAACCAUUUGUAAUAUCAAAAUUGCCCUAAACACUACUAAAACACGAUGAAAUUACUGAUUCCUGAAAAUUAUAUUCAAAAUUAUUUGAGUCCAAAUUUAAUCCCCAAUUAAACUUAGGUUGAGCCGCUUAUUUAGAAGGACACUUUCAAUAGGAUUCUGUUUCAAGCUUGAAUUCAAAAUUUAUGAUUAAAGGUAAAGAAGUCGCACCUCUCGAAUUAAUUCAUGCACUUUUUUUAGUAUAAUUUGUAAAUAUUUAUUAUUAGUUUUAAAUAUUAAAAUUAUAAUAUAUUCUUUUUUAAAAAAAGUUAUCUAUUAUGUAACAUCACAUAAUUGAGGCAAAUGAAUAAUUAAGAUGAACAUAGUCAGACUUUUAAGUUUAUCGGCAAUUUUUAUUUAGACACUUGAAUUAUAAUAUUUUUUGAUUGAGGACUUGAAUGUAUGUGCAGUCACUUAAAAUUUAUCAAAUAUAAAUUUAUAAAGUUGUUCGGAUUAUAUUAAAUUAAUGAAUAUAUUAGUCCAAAUAAAUAUUGUGGACUAAUAUUAUUGAUUUAAUUAUUUAAAUUCAGAUAAAUAUGAAUUUAAUUAAAGCCCGCCCCAUAAAGCCCAUAUGAUAUUUCACUUAAAUCUGAUUGGCCGAAGGUUCUAGUCUCAACUCUUUUAUUCUAAAAAUAUAAAUAGGGGUCUCAUAAUUUAGUAAAAGAGAACCAAGAAUUCUAAACAAGAAGCUAGAGAAAAUUCAUGGUACAAAUGUCAUUAAAUUCUCUACAAAGCUACAAGUUUAAGAAUUCGAGCAUUCAAGUUCAAGAACGAUCAAGAUCAAGGCCAUCGAAUUCAGGAACAAGCUUGAAGCCCUUGAAUUCAAAUAAAAGUCAAGAUCAAGAUAAAGUUCAAGUUCAGGUUCAUUAGAGAUUCAAAAACAAGUUUUAAAGCCCUUGAAUUUAUAUUUGAAAAGGCGAAUUAAGAAAAUCAUAGAAAUUGUAAAACUCGCAUUUGAAAUAAUAAAAUUGAUUGUUGCUAUAAUCUUCCGUUAUUGAUUAUUAUUUCUCGACGUGAAUUUGAUUGUAUAGUGUAUGAUAAUGUACUUCUAAAGAUACUUUCACCUCAAUUUUUUAGAAACACUCAUUGGUAGUAGCUUUCAUGUUGUGCAUUAGUAAUGGGGCGGGCUUAUUAAUUGGGCGUGGUUUACUUAUUAAUGGGUUGGUAGUAGAUUGGUUAAUAAAUUAUAUUAAUAAGUUAAAUUAUAACAAAUAAUUGAGCGUCCUGUAUUAAAAGUAUAUUUAAAUAGUUAAAAUUUAAAAUCAUUAAAUAAGUGAUUAAUUUUGAACUCAAAGGUGGACGACAAGGGUAUUCUGGAGUCAAUAGGUGGAUGAGAAGGGUAUUUUGUACCAUUUCUACUACUUCAACGAUAUUUUUAGGCCAUUUUCCGUAGUUUAAAUAUCGCUAAAUAUAUUUUUAGAGGUAAUUAACACUCUUUUGUAAAUGUCCCAAAAGGCUAUACCGAUGACAUUAGACCAAUAGCAAUUAAGUAAUAUUGUAACAGUUUUAGCACUCUUUUGUUAAUAUGCCUACUUAUUACUGCUAAAAGUUAUUUCACCAAUAUAAAAUUAUAUUUUAUGAUGUGAACUGUUUCUAUUUUUUUGAAAUGAAUCUCUUUAAGGGAAAGGAUCUCACGGAAAGAAUUGUAAAUCUAGAAAACUAAAUUAUGAUAAGACGAAGAAGGAUAAACUAUUAUGACACAUGAGUAGCAGCAAAAGAGUGAAUUGUAUUUGUUUUUUGUUUUUUUUUUACAGUGUAGAGGUUUUACAACAAAAAGGAACACAUUUUUUACUGGCCUUUGAUUUUUGGCAACUAUCAAAAGAAUCAAAAUAAUAUUAAACCAAAGUACAAAGUUUUGGACAAUAAUGUUAUAGAAUUUAAGGCCUGUGGAACCUUUUACUUUCUCCACAGCCCAUAAUAGAAGUAGGCAAUUUGCCAACUUUCUCAAUUCCUUCUUCAAGUACAACUCCCAUUCCCAUGAAGAAAUGUGACUCAAUAUGGCAAUGGAAGGCCCAAACUCCUGGAUUAUCGGCCCGAAAUCGCAAUGCGGUCCAUCCAUAAGGAUGGACUGGGAUUGUGUUUUUCAUUAUUGGGUUAACAAAGAUGUAAUUCUUUGGAUCAAUAGAUUGGUUAAACUUGCCAUUACCAUAGCCCAUGACCCAAAAGUCAUGUCCAUGUAAAUGCCAAGGAUGUGUCUCACUGUUGUUUAGGUUCAUUGUGUUGGCAUUUUGCAAUAUGAUGUCCACUGUUGUAUUGAACUUCAAUCGAUAAAUCGAGUUGCUAGUUGUAGCAUUAACAUUUGGCGCGAUAUUGAAGAUGUCGUAAUUCUUUUGGUCAUAGUUGUCCGGAGGAGGGGUUUGCUCGAAAACAUGUAAUAAGUUGUGUUUAUGACGUCAAACAUCGCGGAAUUGGUGCUAUGUUAGAUAUUGAAAGAGAAUUUCCCAUUGUCGCUCUAUUUGAUGAAAUAAACAGGAUAUAUGCAUUGUUAUUUCACCAGAGGCGUAUGAAUCUUGUGCACUCCGCAAACAGAUUUGUUCCUUCAAUUGAAAAACACAUAUCAGAGUAUGUCAACGCGGGCAACAAGUUGUUGGCCCAUCAAAUCGCUAACUUCAAGUUCAGUGUCACUGGUCAUGGAGAUGUUGCUACCAUGGAUCUACAGAGAAGAACUUGUACUUGUAGAAUUUUUUAAUUUGAACAAAAUACCAUGUCCACAUGCAAUGGCAGCAAUUCGAUCCAAACAUGGUGAUGAUAUUGGAAAUCAGAUUUACUUGUACUCCUCUCCAUAUUAUUCAGUGGAAAAAUACAUAAUGGCAUAUUGUCAGGAAAUUCACCCGGUGCCAACUGAAGAUUCUUGGAUUGUCCCUUUGGAUGUCACACAAAGAGAAAUACCUCCUCCAUAUGUUGAUCCAAGUAAACCCGGGAGAAGGACAUAUAAGAGACGGAGUGGAGUUGGUGAAUCAUUUCAAACAAGAAAAAAUAAGUAUUCAGUAUGUAGAAACUUUGGCCACAAAAAAACUACAUGCCCAAAUCGAAAUGCCUCAUAAGAAGUGUUAAGCAUUGUGUUGUUGAAUUUUAAUGAAUGUUCUUUCUUAUUUGAGGAUGAUCUCUAUUAUAUAAUCUUAUUUAGAAAUGCCCCUACCCGUGAGUUGUUGCUCUUCUUUGUUUGUGUCAACACAUGUAAAAUGUUGCUACAGGAUAUACUAGAUGUGGCAACAUAUGCAACAAAUAUUGUUGCAGGCGAAUCAUCUGCAGCAACAUAUGCCACAUGUUGUGAUUCGCCUUUAGCAACAUAUGACUCAUAUGUUGGAACAUAUAAUAUAUCUAAAAGCACACUAUAAAGUAAUCAUUAUUCAAUAGUAUAUGUUGCCAUUGAUGCUUAUAUGUUGCAACAUAUGACUCAAAUGUUGCAACAUAUAAUCAUAUGUUCCAACAUAUGACUCAAAUAUUGUGACGGACAAAUGUUGUGAUAUAUGCAUCAGUUGUACCAACAUUUGACACAAAUGUUGCUUCAUAAAAUGAUGUGUAGCAACAUCUACUUUUAACUAAUGAUUACGUGGGAUUGUGCUUCUAGAUAUAUUAGAUGUGGCAACAUAUGCAAUAAAUGUUGCUACAGACGAAUCAGUUGUAGAAACAUAUGCCACAUGUUGUGACGGACGAAUGAUGCUCCAUAUAAUCAUCUGUAGCAUCAUAUGACUCAAAUGUUGCUACAUAUAAUCAUCUGUAGCAACAUAUACUUUUAAAUAAUGAUUACGACGAUGCUUUUAUAUGUAUUAGACGUGGCAAAAAAUGCAAUAAAUGUUGCUACAGAUAUAUCAGCGGUAGCAACAUAUGCCACAUGUUGUGACGGACGAAUGUUGCUACAUAUAAUCAUCUGUAGCAACAUAUGACUCAAAUAUUGCUACAUAUAAUCAUCUGUAGCAACAUAUACUAUUAAAUAAUGAUUAUGACUGUGGUUUUAGAUAUAUUUGAUGUGGCAACAUAUGCAAUAUAUGUUGCUACAGAUAAAUCAGCUGUAGCAAGAUAUUCCACAUUCUGUGACGGACAAAUGUUGCUACAUAUAAUCAUCUGUAGCAACAUAUGACUCAAAUAUUGCUACAUAUAAUCACCUCCAGCAACAUAUACUUGUAAAUAAUGAUUACGACUAUGAUUUUAGAUAUAUUAGAUAUGACAACAUAUGCAAUGAAUGUUGCUACAAAUAUAUCAACUGUAGCAACAUAUGCCACAGGUUGUGACGGACGAAUGUUGCUACAUAUAAUUAUCUACAGCAAUAUAUGAAUCAAAUGUUGCUACAUACAAUCAUCUGUAGCAACAUAUACUUUUAAAUAAUGAUUAUGACUGUGUUUUUAGAUAUAUUAGAUAUGGCAACGUACGCAAUAAAAGUUGCUACAGACGAAUCAGAUGUAGCAACAUAUGCCACAUAUUGUGAAAGAAGAAUGUUGCUACAUAUAAUUAUUUGUAGCAACAAAUGACUCAAAUGUUGCUACAUAUAAUCAUCUGUAGCAAUAUAUACUUUUAAAUAAUGAUUACGUGGGACUUGCUUUUAGAUACAUUAGAUGUGGCGACAUAUGCAAUAAAUGUUGCUACAGAUUUCCAUUUUUCCUUUCCUAAAUUGAUAAAAGCUUCUAUUAGUCUCUCCAACAUAUGCAGUUUCUGUAGUUAAAUUCGCAACAUAUAAGAAACUGUUGCAACAUAUAAUUAUAACAAAUAACUCUUUUGGGGCUUCAUUCAAUUAAAUUAUCAUGUAAUUCGAUAUGUAACACCAAUAUAUAGUCCUACAACAUGUCUAAGUAACAAAUUAUGGUCGUUAACAACACUCUCCAUUGGAUUAUAGCAAUUAGAUUUAUAAAGACAAUUAUCUCUCUAGUUCAUCAUACAUUGUCCUAGUAAAUCCAUAUAAUAGUUAUAUAACACCGUUCUAAAUCAUUGUUUCAAAUGUUAUACCUUAUUAUUAUUGAUUAUUUAUGUUCUAAAUCACUAAAAUUUGGUUCAAAUUUCCAUUUUUCUUUCCUAAAUCGAUCAAAUUGUCUAUUAAUGUCUCCUUGAAUUUUCAUUUGUAGCAACAUAUGCAGUUUCUGUAGUUAAAUUCGCAACAUAUAAGAAACUGUUGCAACAUAUAAUUAUAAUAAAUCUUUUGGGGCUUAAUUUAAUUUAAUUGUCAUGUAAUUCGAUGUGUAACACCAAUAUAUAGUCCUACAACAUGUCUAAGUAACAAAUUUAUGUUCGUUUAGAACACUCUCCAUUGGAUUAUAACAAUUAUAUUUAUAAAGACAAUCAUCUCACUAAUUCAUCAUACAUUGUGCUAGUAAAUCCAUAUGAUAGUUAUAUAACACCCUUCUAAAUCGUUGUUCCAAAUGUUAUACCUUAUUAUUUUUGAUUAUUUAUGUUCUAAAUAACAAAAGUUUGUUUAAAUUUCCAUUUCUCUUUUCCUAAAUUGAUUGAAUCGUCUAUUAGUGUCUCCUUUAUUUUUAAUCUGUAGCAACAUAUGCAGUUUCUGUUGUUAAAUUCGCAACAUAUAAGAAACUGUUGCAACAUAUAAUGAUAACAAAUGACUCUUUGGGGGGCUUAAUUCAAUUAAAUUGUCACGUAAUUUGAUUUGUAACACCAAUAUAUAGUCCUACAACAUGUCUAAGUAACAAAUUAUGAUCGUUAAUAACACUCUCCAAUGGAUUAUAGCAAUUAUAUUUAUAAAGACAAUCAUCUCACUAGUUCAUCAUACAUUGUCCUAGUAAAUCCAUAUGAUAAUUAUGUAACACCCUUCUAAAUCGUUGUUCCAAAUGUUAUACCUUAUUAUGAUUGAUUAUUUAUGCUCUAAAUCACUAAAAUUUGGUUCAAAUAUCCCUUUUUCAUUUCCUAAAUCGAUUCAAUAGUCUAUUAGUGUCUCCUUGAUUUUUCGUCUGUAGCAACAUAUUCUGUUUCUGUUGUUAAAUUGGCAAAAUUUAAGAAACUGUUGCAACAUAUGAUUAUAACAAAUGACUCUUUUUCAGAAGUGGCCCAAUGAUAGGCAAACCCCAUUCUAUUUUUAAAAAAAAUUAAAAUAAGCCCAACCCAUUCUAGAAUAUGUUUUCAUUUUCAUUUCAAGAAUAGGGUUUUCAAAUUUUUCUUCUUUGCCGCUUCAGUUUUGGCGUGUUUUUUUCAAAUCAAAUUUGAUUUUCUGUCAGUCAUACUGUUCUAUAUUUGGUUCACCUUUGGUUAAACCAAAUUUCGGUACUCCCAUGGAUUGUCAAAUUCUAUACUAAGUCGAAUUUGCGAUGAUGAAAAUGAUACUAUAUUGAAUCUUAAAAUGUAUUGCAAACAUGGAGAUCUACUUUCAAUGCAAACUUCAUGGUCACAAUCCAGGUUGCAGAUUUUGAUCUUGUCCACGAUAUCGUGUAUGUGUGUUUAUUUCUAAAAUAUUUUGGAGACUUCAGAUCUCUUUAUUUUUUUAAAUAAAUUUAUUUCUUUGUGGUAUUUUAGGAGAAUUCAUGCAACUUGUUUACAUGGAGGGAUCGUGAAGUUGUUGAUAUAAGAUCCAAGUUUGUUAUUCUCCGAUUGGCAAACAAAAUUAAGGAGUUGGACACUGUUGAUGAAAGUCAUAUCAAAAUAAGUACCAAAUGGGGGAUGAAGGAGAAGAAAAAGACCAAAUGUUGUAGCAUCUGGAAGUUAAUGUUGGUGUUCUUUGUUUUUUUUUCUUGUAUUUUUGUGCAUUACAAAAAAGAAUUUUGUAGAGGAUACAAAAUUAUUAUGUAGUUGUGUACAACCAAUACAAUUAUCAUAGUUAUGGAAUUAAAUAGACGUAGUUUUGCACUUCUGAUCAAACAACAAAUUAUUAUGUACUCGUGAGGACGAAUGUUGUGAUAUACGCUUCAGUUGUAGCAACAUAUGACUCAGAUGUUGCUACAUAUAAUCAUCUGUAGCAACAUCUGACUCAAAUGUUGCUACAUAUAAUCACCUAUACCAACGUAUGACUCAAAUGUUGCUACAACUGAUUCAUCUGUAGCAACAUAUGCCAAAUGUCGUGAUGGAUGAAUGUUGCUACAGACGAAUCAACUGUAGCAACAUAUGACUCAAAUGUUGCUACAUAUAACCACCUAUACCAACAUAUGACUCAAAUGUUGGUACAGCUGAUUCGUCUGUAGCAACAUAUGCCACAUGUCAUGAUGCACGAAUGUUGUGAUAUACGCAUCAGCUGUAGUAACAUAUGACUCAAAUAUUGCUACAUAAAAUCAUCUGUAGCAACAUAUGCAACAAAUAUUGUUACAUAUAAUUAUCUCUAUCAACAUCUGACUCAAAUAUUGUGAUAUACAAAUCAUAUGUAGCGAUAUAUGUCAAAUGUUGUGAUAAAUAAAUUGAUAAAAUAAACAUUGUAUUUAAUUACAUUGUUUUUAAGAUUAAAUAAAAUAACAUAUUCGAUAAAUUAAACGUUAUCUUUUAGUACAAUCAUAAUGACAAGGCUUUAAGCACUGAGAUAUUAUCCCAUUAGCCCAAAUAUAUUGCAUCCGUUCAAUUAGAUUUUCACAUAACAGUGAACUGAGUGGAUGCAAUUCUAUCCGACUAAUCAAAUGCCCAAUGUAUGCAAUAGAAUAUGACCUGCACGCUGCUCCACUUGCAUUUUGUACCAUAGGUUCUAUUCGACCGUUAAAUUCCAAUGGUUGAGUGAGCAACUUCUCUAGCAAAUGAUUCAUUAUUCCACUCUGUUUCAGCAAUUUAGGCAGCAACUCGAAGACACGUUGUAUGAGUGUGAAAAACAUGUCAUUUUUCGUAACCACCAGGUUGCACUCAUAAACAUUGAUCAAUCCCUCGUGCAAGAGAAUCUCGACAGUCACGAAAUGAUUACCAGAAAUGUUCAUGACUGUCAAAAUACUUUUUGCAUCAAUUCAAUCCAUGCCUCCAGGAGUUGUCCUACUACCCUGACAUAGUCAAUCAUAUCAUCAUCCCAUACAAAGUCAUCUAGUAACUGACUCAUGCUUUUACCACCUGACAUUGUUGCAUCAUCGCCCAUUCGAUUAUAUCUAUGUAGGAAGUUCAUACAUAAAUUGAGAUCCAGGAUUCUAUCUCUGGGAUCAUAGUAGUCUGGGUAUUUCCAAUGCCUUUGACUCAUGAGGUUAAGGAUUUCGUGAAUAUAAUAAAAUAAAAAAUAUCUACCCACCAAGCUGUUAGGCUUUUCAUGUUCCUGAAAUCUUGACCGGUAAAAAUAUGCAUGCCAUAUUCCAUUCAAAUAUCCUUUGCACCGGUCACCUUAACUACUGCUUCUUUUUCAGCUACACAGGGAUGCCUAUAAAUAUUCAACUUUUUAUACUCCGUCACCUCUUCCUCCAUUACGGCCCUUGGAAUUUCUCCAAACAUCUUCCUCUUUAAAUUUUGCAUUGCCUUGGAAAAUGAUUCUUUUCUCCGCUUGGCCUUUGGAGUACAUGCAUGCCGCACAUUCUUUGAUACAAUGCCUUUCACACCCCUCGUGUUUUUAAAUUCAUUGACAACUUCACUCAAUUUUUGUAGAUAAGUGCUAGACUUUUAUCAAGUUUCUUACACUUCUCACAGAGAAAGCCACAACAUCGUCUACAAGAUGUAGCCCCUUCUUGUUGUCCUGUACCAGCACCAACACCAGCACAAUAAUCAACAUCAACACCAUCAUCAACAUCAAAAACAACUAAUUUAUUACGUACUUCAAUAGGAACUCUCUCUCUUUUGAUGAUUGUUGCUCCAACCAACACCAUUUUAACUCUAUCCACAACAGGAUCAAAAAUGGUUUCAACCAACCCUAGACUUAUUAGAUAUGACAUUUGCAAUUCCUCUUCUGUUAGGGUAAUCCAUGGAUAGACAACCUAAAAUAGUAAAAAUGAGUCAUCAGCAAGAAUUUUUUGUUGCUACAGAUGAAUCUUCUGUCACAACAUGUGUCACAAAUAUUGCUACAGAUGAAUCAUAUGUAGCAACAUGUGUCACAUGUUGCGACACAUGACUCGUCUUUAGCAACAUGUGGCACAAAUGUUGCUAUAAACGAAUCAUGUGUUCCAACAUGUGCCACAAAUUUUGCUACAAAUGAAUUGUCUAUCGCAACAUGUGUCACAAAUGUUGCUACAAAUGAAUUAUCUAUAGCAACAUGUGUAACAUGUCACAACAUAUGACUCGUCUGUCGCAACACGUGUCACAAAUGUUGCUAUAAAUGUUGCUAAAUAUGAAUUGUCUGUGGCGACAUGUGUCACGAAUGUUUCUACAGAUGAAUCAUCUGUAGCAACAUUUGUGGCACAUGUCGCAAAGCGUGAUUAGUCUGUACCAACAUUUGUGUCACGUGUUGCUAUAGAUGAGUCAUGUGUCGCAACAUAUGACACAUGUUGCUACAGAUGAUUCAUCUAUAGUAACAUUUGUGACACAUGUUGCGACAGACAAUUCAUCUGUGGAAAAAAAUGAAUUAUUUGUAGCAACAUGUGACACAAAUGUACAUUCACCCAUGAUUUUUUGUGGUAAUCUGCAAAAAGUGGAAACACAAUUGAGGGGAGAAUGUGGAAUUUGAAAUUCAACUUAGAAGCGGAAGAAUGAUUUUUGGAGAAGAUAUGGAUGAAGAUAGGAGAGAUAAAAAAAAUUCUGUAGAAAAUUUUAUAUUUAUUGAACUUCAGUAAUUAUGACAAAAAUUUGAAAACUAUAUUUACUGUCACUAAAUAAAUCAAACUAUACCCUUAUUAACUAAUAACUAAGGAUGUUUGUCAUCUCGUAUAUUUUUUCCUUUUUAUUUUUGUUGUCUCCACACCUUCUUUCCCGAGAUUUAGUUUUACAUUUUUACAAACAUAUUAUUUAUUUAUUUAAAUGCAUGAGGUGCAUGAUAGACCUCAAAUCAGGGGCGGAUCCACAUGUAAUGGUGGGGGUGCACGUGCACCAGCUAACUUCGGAAAAAAUUACGUGUGUGUGUGUAACUAUAUAUAUAUAUAUAUAUAUAUUGAGAAAUUGGUAGAGAAACACUAUCACACUUGAUAACCAUUGAACUAUUUUUGGUCUGUUGGUAGAAGUGGAGAAAUACCUCCUUGAAAACCUAGGUUUGAUCCAAGCCAACAACACUCUUUUUUUUUAUUACAAAAUUUCGCUUCGCUUAUGCUUAAAUAUUAUUGGUGCACCCAGACUUCUUAAAUCGUGGGUUUGCCUCUGCCUCAAAUUAGUUGAUAAACAAACACAAAAUGCAUCAAAAAGACAUUAGUUGAUAACGAACACAAAAUGCAUGUAGAAAUCAAGAACAAAUGCUAACAAACAUGAAACAAUCUAAUUCACACCAAUUUUCAAUAUUCAAUAGAAACUAUAAACAUAAAAAGUUCAUUUGCCAAAACUUUCACAAACAAAUCACUUUUUAACCCUCCUCAAAAGAGAAGUAGAUCAGGAACAACGUAAAUGAAUAAAAAAAUAGAGAGAUAUUCAGCGAGCAAAGAAGAAAAACCUUGUAGAAAUUAAGAGCAAUUUAAGAAAAUUAAAGAUUCUUCCUUCAUAGUUCCCAUUUCUAAAUAAGAGUAAUAAUAUGCAUUUCAUAAGUGUUCCUUUUUGUUGUUUGGUUUUACUUUUGGAGUAUGUUUUUAAAAUUUGUAAAUAGUAAAGUAAAUAGUAAAUCACUAUAGCCUAAAUUAGUUGCUAUAAAUUCUUCAUCUACUCUCUCCUUCUCUUUAAUACAAAUCCAUUAAGCAAUUUGUAAAUCUAUUAACUUCAAAAGACAUAUUUUUAAAUUUUAAUUAAUUUUAUCAAGUACAAUUAAUAAUUAGAUACACAAAUUAUAACUUUUUUUAUUGGUAUUCUGAUAAUUAAAUUUUGAAUAACAUAUAUUUAUUUAUAAACAAAUUAGUUGAUUAAUAAAAACAUAAUUAACUUUUAAUAGAUUACUUAACUCAUUCAUAGACGUUUGAAACUUGUGGGAUGUUUGACGUAUAAAAAAUUGAUACUGUCAAAAUUGAAAAUUACUUGAAAUUUUCAUAUUAAUUGUGUAAGUAGAAUCAUGAAAUAUUUUUAUCUAAAUUUAUAUAUAUGAUUAUCAUUUCUUAAAUUUAGUGAAUUUGAAAUUAUAUACCAAAGUAAUUAAUAGUAUUAAUUACUAUUAAUACCAAUAAAUACUACUUUUAUGCUUGCAUUGAUUUUUUUUCUCAUAAAUUUAUUUAAUUUAAAUUUAAAAAUGAGAUUAAAAAACAAUAUUUUUUAUGGGAAAAGGGUCUAAUAUACCCCUCAACUAUGUCAUUUGGAGCUGAUAUACCCCUCGUUAUAAAAGUGACUCAUAUAUGCCCUUACCGUCAUACAAACUGCUCACAUAUACCCCUGUCGUUACAAAAUGACUCACAUAUACCCUUCAUUUAACGGAUUUUAAAAAAUUAGUUUUAAAUUUAUAUUUAUUACUUCUAUUUUUUUAAAAAAUUAUAUAAGGGUAUAUAUGAUUCUUCUAUCAAAGUUCAAGGUAUAUUUUAAAUUUUUUCAUACAUAAAUUAUUUUUUGACUUCUUUUAUUAUAAUUAUCUGAAUUUCUUAUUCUUAUUUUGUUUUUUCUUUCAUUCCUUAGUUUAAAGAAUAAAAAAUUAAACUAUUUUUUUGUGUGUAUUGUAAUUUAAUUUUGUAUUCGAAGAAAAAAUUUGAUCAUCUACAAUAAGUUUUACAAGAAUAUUAGUGAAACAUAAAUAAAUUUGAUUAUCAAUACAAUAAUUAUAAAUUAGUCAUUGAAACAAAAAAAAAGUCAAAAAAAUAUGUUUGACGAGGAUUAAUUUACUCAUAUGAGAUUAUAUUUUUUAGAAAAAAAUAAUAAAAAUUUAGAUUAAAAUUAUUAUUUUUUCAUUUCCGUUAGAGGAAAAGGAUAUAUGUGAGCCAUUUGUUUACAAGUAGCGGUAUAUAUGAGCCACUUUCAUAACAAGGGGUAUAUCAGCUCUAAAUGACAGAGUUAAAGGGUAUAUCAGACCAUUUUCCCUUUUUUUAUUGAAUAGUAAGUGUCAAGAAAGAUCAUUAUGAAGGGAAGACUUGACUUUUCUUAGUGACAGAGCACAUUUUACGAAGGGUGUGCAAAAUUAUAAAAAAUAACCAACAAAGAAUUUAAUGAGUGGAUUUAUAUUCAUCUUGCUCAACCUAGUUAUUUUACCAUAAAAAAUAUAAAUAAUUCUUUUUAAAUACAAUUUGUCUAAUUCUUUUAUCUUGAAUUUGAGAUCUCACUUAUAAAAAGAAAAUUCUUAAAUUUUUGUUGCGUUUAGUUAUAAAAAUGCAUGGUAAAUUUUAUAAAUUAACAUAAUCAUUUUAAAAAAAAUGAGUCAAGAUUUUUACUGAACACAUAUUGCAUCUUCAAGAAAAAAUAACACCAAUUUAUAGUUUUUACUUGAAUCAAAAGUUAUUUUCAAUCUCUGAUUUUGUUACUUAAUUUAAAUGGAUGUUAGGUUUCUCAUUUUUCGAUAGAGAAUGUGCGAAAUCAUGAUGAUAAAAACUCAAAUCUUCGCUAAUUCUCUUGACUCACUUAUAAAAUCAUGAAAGACAUUUACCUACAAUUUUUAUAAAAAAAAAACAACGUUAAGUCAAACCUCCCAAUAACCUUCCAAUUAGGAAAGAAUGGAAAAUAUAGUGGUAUAUAUAGGUAAACAUGAGAAAUCUAGAAGAAAUAAAUUUUAACUUUCAUUGAUAAUGGUCUCACAAUUAACUUGACUUGAUAAGAAGUACAAGAAAAUUCACCAUUGAAAAGAACUUUUGAGAUUCUUUAAUGGAUAUCAAAUUGAAUCUCAAUAAUAUAUCUCAUUAUUAUAAAUCCAAGAUGCCCCAAAUGAUCAGAAUAUCAAAAUUAGUAAACUUCUGAUAUACUAUAGAAUUAGGGAACUUUUCAGUAACAUAUGUAUGUCCAAAGACAUUCUUGGUGAUAUCACGUCCGCGAUCAAAGGUUACAGACCCUUUCCACACAUAGCGUGGUGGGCAUACACCUCAUUCAAUACAAAGAAUAGAUUUGUAUUUUUAGCAUUAUUCAAAAGUUUUCAUUUCUCAUGAAUGGAAUACAAUCAUUUGAGCGUGCAUAUCAAUUUUUUUUAUGAUAGCUUAGUACUCGAUUCCACAUUUAUGUGUAUCUAUCAAUGUUCUAAUAUUCAUGAAUGGAAGACAAUCAUCUGAGCAUAUCAAAUUAUGAUAGCUUAGUACCUCAUUCAAUAUUCAUGUGGAUCAUUAGACCACUUGUCCUCUUUCAGACAUGCACUACUACUACAUUCACUUUUAGGGAAUAAAGCGAUUUCAAUGAGACGUGUUUCGUGACUAGAUUUCACCAAAAAUAUACUAUUUAGUCGUAGCCAUCAUUAUAUCAUCAAUAUGGUGCAUGUAUUCAAAUUCAAACUCAAUGUCUUAUCCAUAAAAACAUCUGAGAUCAUGAAUCCGUGAGACUUAAAUCCAAUAUGUUAUCAUCAUGAUGCACCGAGACUUUAACCUGAUGUCUUACCCCUUUUUAAUGGUAUAACUUAAAUCCAUCAUCUUACCGUCAAUCAAUAAAAGCUAAUUCUUGAGCCUUUAAACUAUCUAUACUACCAUCAGUUAUUAACUUUAACAUGGAUAAAUAAUGUGCAUCUUGUAUUGAAUAAAUAGGUUUUAAAAUGGGUUAAGACCUUCCAUAUAUCAUAAAAUACUUUAGCAUGAAAAUCUUUAUCGAAGCAUAACAAUUUCAUCCCUCUCUCUAUAUAUGCAUAAAAAAUGGUCCUCAAAAUAUGCAUCUUACUUAUGCUGAUGAUAUAGUUAUAUUUAGUAGCGGCAAUACUAAUUCUAUUAAGGGUUUGUUUAGUAUGAAGGAAAAUGUUUUCCUUGAAUACAUGUAGAUAUUUGACUUAUUUUUUCAUGUUUGAUUGGUGAGCAAAAAAAAUUUUUGGAAAAAUAUUAGUGUUUGAUUUUUGAAUGAAAAAUAUUUUUGAGAAAUAUCUUUUACUUUUGACAAGAGUAGAAAAUAUUUUUUGAAGUUGAAUUAUUCUUUAAAAACAAGUUUAAUUUUUUUUUUGUGGUGGUGGUUUGGUGGGGGGGGGGUGUUUGAGGAUAAAGGUGAAAAAUUAAAAUUUAAAGUUGAUUUUUUUUUAAAGGGAAAAGGGUCUGAUAUACCCUUCAACUUUGUCAUUUAGAGCUGAUAUACCCCUUGUUAUGAAAGUGACUCAUAUAUACCCCUACUUGUAAACAAAUGACUCACAUAUACCCUUUUCCUCUAACGAAAAUGAAAAAAUAAUAAUUUUCAAUCUAAAUUUUUAUUAUUUUUUUCUAAAAAAUAUAAUCCCAUAUGAGUAAAUUUAAUCCUCGUCAAACAUAUAUUUUUUUUGACUUUUUUUUGUUUCAAUGACUAAUUUAUAAUUAUUAUUUUGAUAAACAAAUUUAGUUAUGUUUCAUUAAUAUUCUUGUAAAACUUAUUGUAGAUGCCAAAUUUUGUUUUUCGAAUACGAAAUUAAAUUACAAUAAACACAAAAAAAUAGUUUAAUUUUUUUCUUUAAACUAAGGAAUGAAAGAAAAAAAAUAAAAUAAGAAUAAGAACUCAAAUAAUUAUAAUAAAAGAAGUCAAAAAAUAAUUUAUGUAUGAAAAAAAUUAAAAUAUACCUUGAACUUUUAUCGAAGAAUCAUAUAUACCACUAAAUAAUUUUUAAAAAAAUUUAUAAGUAAUAAAUAUAAAUUUAAAACUAAUUAUUUAAAAUUCCUUUAAAUAAAGGGUAUAUGUGAGCCAUUUUGUAACAGCAGGGGUAUAUGUGAGCCGUUUGUAAAAUGGUAAGGGUAUAUAUGAGCCACUUUUAUAAUGAGGGGUGUAUCAGCUCCAAAUGACAAAGUUGAGGGGUAUAUCAGACCCUUUUCCCUCUUUUAAAUAAUAAUAUUACGUUUUUUAAGGGGGUGGGGGUGGGGGUCGUAGGGGGCUAGUGAGGUGGGAGGUCGAGGGUAAGGUGAAAAAAUGAAAGGGCCAAUUACACAACAAGUAACACCAUUGAAUACUCCAAAAAGUACUGGAAGCAAGCAACAACGUCAAGGAAGUGUACAUGGGAAGAUAUGGUGGAGGAAGAUACAUCAAAAGUGAGAUCUAUAGAAAGGCCAAGUGAAGGAGUGACAUGGAGUAGAAUUGUAGGGACAACAUCGCAGAUAGAAGGACUGGAUCUGAGUGGGGAAGUAAACCCUAGUCUCAAUGUUAAGAUAACAAGAGAGGAUAUACAAGAGGAAGUGAAAUAUUGGGAAACAGCUGUGGUUUGUUAUGCAUUAGGAUCGAACCCACCGCCGAUAGUUAUAGAGGGAUAUUUUAGGAGAAUCUGAAAAAAGUUAGGGAUAGAUAAAGUAGCUCAGGUAAAUAGGGGGUGUUUAUGGUGUGUUUCAACAAUGCUGAGAAUAGGGGAAUAGCCGUGGAAGAAGGUGUGCAAAUGUUCGACAAAAAUCCAGUAAUAGUGAAACCAUGGGAACCAGAUAUAGUGGUAACAAAAGAUAAGGUGGAAAAAGUGCCAAUUUGGGUGAGAUUGGUAGGGUUAGAUAUAAAAUAUUGGGGAAAGAAUGCUCUAACAAAGAUAACAGGGUUGAUAGGACAUCCAUUGAAAGUAGACAGAGCAACAACACAAAAAGAUAGAUUAACGUUUGCAAGAGUAUUGAUAGAGAUGCCUCUAAAUAAGGAAUAUCCCAAAGUAAUAAUGUUUGAGAAUGAAAUAAGGAAGAUAGUGCAUCAGCAGGUUGAAUAUGAAUGGAAAACAAUAUUAUGCAAAAAAUGUAAGAAUUUUGGGCAUGAUAUAAGUGAGUAGAGAAAACAAUUAAAGGAGAAUGAGAAGCAACACAAAGGAGAACAAGUGAUAAAUGGAGAAGGACAACAAAGGGUUGAUAAAGUGGAGGAAAUAAGAAAUGCCAGGCAAUCUAGUAGAAUAGAGAUACAAAAGGGGAAGACUCAAAUAAUAAAAACUGAGAAAACUAACUCUUUCAAUGUGUUGAGCGAGAUAGGGCAAGGAAGUAAGGAGAUAAGAGCAGGGAAUAAUGUGAUAGGAAAUGAGAAAAGGAAGGAGAAGGAUGGGGAAGACCAAUCCUGAAUGGAUAGAAUAGGGUUUUGAAACUCUAGGGGAUUAAAUAGAGUUGAUAAACAAAAGGAAAUGUAGGUUUUCCUAUAUACCUCAAAAAUCAUCUUGUUUGGUUUCCUAGAGACUAGGAUUAAGAGAGUGAAAGCAAGUAAUGUGGAUCUUAGUCUAUGUAGGACAUGAUCGUUUACAACUGAGCUAGCAGCUCACUAUGGGGGGGGGGAAUUAGGAUAUUGUGGAAGCCAGAGAUAUACAAUGUGGAUGUGAAGUUAGUAACAUGACAAGUAAUUCACAGUAAAGUAGAAUAUAUGGGAACGAGAAGGGUAUUUGAUAUUACAAUGGUAUGUGGUUUCAAUGACCAAGCAAUGACAAGAACAUUAUGGAGGGACAUAAAAGGGUUAAGAGGGAGCAUCAAUGGGGCUUGGGCUAUAAUGGGAGAUUUUAAUCGCAUGUUGAAUAUGGAUGAAAGGAUAGGACGACCUUUUGAAAUGGCAGAAAUAAGAGAAUUUCGACAAUGUGUGGAGGAAUGUGAAGUUCAGGACCUCAAAUCAUAAGUCUCAUUCUUUACAUGGAAUAAUAAACAAAGAGGGGAAGACAGAGUUUGGAGUAAAAUAGACAGGGCCCUAGUUGAUAGUGAUUGGAUGACCAAUUUACCACGUCUGAAGCACACUUUAUGCAUGAAGAAAAUAUGAUCAUUGUCCUGCAAUCAUAAGCUGGGAAGAGGGGUCUAUAAAUGGGAAGAAGAAAUUUAGGUACUUUAAUAUGUGGAGAAUGGAACCAAAAUAAAAAGAAAAGGUGAAGGCUAGCUGGGGGGGAAAAUAAGAGGAAGGAAUAUGUUUCAACUAGUGGGGAAACUAAAUAGGUUGAAAAAGGUGUUACUGAGUAUAAACAGGGAAAAUUUUGGAGACAUAGAGGGUAAGGCUGAAGAGGCAAAGGAGGAACUGAGGAAAUGUUAGAUGAAAUUGAGCAGAGAUCCAACAGAUAACAAGUUGAUUGAACAAGAACUAGAAAUAUCAAAACAAUAUGGAAAACUAAAAGGGGCCAGGGAUCAAUUCUUGAAACAAAAAGAAAAAAUACAGUGGAUACAAGAAGGUGAUCAAAAUACAAAGUUCUAUCACAACUACAUAAAGACAAGAAGGAACACCAACAUAAUUUUUGGAGGAAAGGAUAAGCAUGGUGAAAGGCAAGAAGGCAUGGAAGAAAUUAGCAAGGCUUUUUUGGAAUACUACAGUGAGCUGCUAGGACAGUCAAACAAGGGAAGAAAGCAUGUGUGCAGGGAGAUAAUUAUGAAAGGAUCACUGGUUAAUAAGGAACAACGAGAACAACUAGCAGCAAAGUUCACAGAGAAGGAGGUAAAGGAAGCUAUGUGGAGCAUUGAUGGGAACAAGUCGCCAGGACCAUAUGAAUAUGGGAGUCCAUUCUUCAAAGAUAAUUGGGAGAUUGUCGGUAAAGAUGUGGUGAAGGGAGUGAUGGAGUUCUUUAGGACUAAAAAGAUGCUUACUGGGAUGAAUGAUACAACAAUUACAUUGAUAGUCAUGCUAAAUCAGUGGGGGAUUACAGACCAAUAUCAUGUUGCAAUACUAUAUACAAGACAAUUUCAAAAAUGUUAUGUAACAGACUGAGGACAGUGCUGCCAGUGAUAAUAUCGAGCAAUCAAAGUGCUUUUGUGGCGGGUAGAUCAAUAGUGCAAAAUGUUUUAAUCUGUCAAGACUUGGUAAGAUUAUAUAAUAGAAAGAAUACUACAAGGAGUUGCUUGAUAAAAAUUGACCUAAGAAAGGCAUAUGACAGUGUUGAAUGGGGUUUUGUGGAAGAAUUUUACAUGCUCUUAAUUUCCCACAUGUGUUCAGAAAAUGAACAAUGGAAUGUGUGAAAACAACAAGAUAUAGCAUUGCACUAAAUAGGGGAAUGUUUGGAAGCAUAGAAGGACAAAGGGGGCUGAGGCAAGGGGAUCCAAUAUCGCCCUUAUUGUUUGUAAUAUGUAUGGAAUAUUUCAGCAGGAUCAUGAUUUGGGUGUCGGAAGAAAAAGGUUUUCCAGUAUCACACAAAAUGCAAAGCAAUGAAGCUGAAUCACUUAUGCUUUGUAGAUGAUAUGCUAAUUUUUAGUAAAGGGGACUACCAAUCGGCAUUGAUGAUGUUGAGAGAUAUCAUUUUCGGGGGCUUCAGAAUUGAUAAAUAAUGCAAUUAAGUCAAACAUAUUUUCAGCAAACAUGGAACAACAAGAAUUGAAUGAUCUCUGUGAGGUGUCUGGAUAUGCAAAACGAAAGCUACCAUUUAGAUAUUUGCGUGUACCCGUUUCAGCAAAAAGAUUAUCGCCAGGAGAUUGUGAGGUACUAGUUGAGAGAAUGGCAAGUAGAGUGAGAGCAUGGGUGCCAAGAAAUCUGUCAUAUGCAGGCGGAGUGCAAUUCGUUAACUCAGUUUUGAUGCAUAUGCACUCAUAUUGGGCAACGAUAUUUAUAUUGCCUAAAAAAGUAUUGAAGGAUAUCACAACAAUUUGCAGGAACUAUAUAUGGAGUGGUAAAGCAACAACAAAUAGACCACCUUUGCCGAAACGAGAAGUUGGGCUGUGUCAAAUGUAACCAAGAAGCAAUUGCAAAAUAUUUUGGAAUGUGGCAGAAAAGGAAGACAAUUUAUGGGUAAAAUGGAUCAAUAACAUAUACAUAAAGAAUGAGGGAUGGUGGCAAUAUAGGCCAAGCAAUGACACAUGCUGGUACUGGAAGAAAAUAUGUGCCAUAAAAGAAAAAUUCAGACAGGGAGUAAAUGGAAAUUGUUGGUUAAAAGAAUCAGGGAAGGUUGACUCUUAUGAAGGAAAGUUUACUUCCACCAAUAACCAUUCAAUUUAAAAAAAAGUUUAUCUCAGAAAUUUAGGCAAUCCUCUGGAACUGGCAUUGAUGUUUCCAUGUUUGGAGAGGCAGAAUUGUGUAAUGCAGAUAUAUAUGAGCUGGCGGUGAAGGCAGAGGCAUUGGAGGAUGGAAAUGUGUCCACAAAUUUCCAGAUUACUCAGGCAGUUUUUGAAAAGGAGAAAGGCAAAUUCAAAAUUAGGGUGGUGAAGCAAGUUAAUGGCAUGCAGUAUGAAUUGCAAGAGAUUUAUGGCAAUGGGAAUUCAGUUGAUAAGGACUUUGAUGGAAAUGAUAAUGGGAAGGAAUGUGUUGUUUGUCUUUCUGAACCUAGAGACACUACUGUACUUCCAUGCCGACACAUGGUAUGUAUUUUGGAGUCGAAUCUUAACACUCUUCUUCAUCUUUUUUGUUUAAAAUGAUUGUAAUGUAUAUGAAAACUAAAUGUGCAUCUUAAAUCCAGUGCAUGUGCAGUGGAUGUGCACAAGUUUUGAGAUUCCAAACAAAUCGUUGUCCUAUUUGUCGUCAGCCAGUUGACCGAUUCUUGGAGAUUAAGGUCAGCGAAGCUGCUGAAGAGUAAGAGUCGCGAUAACCACCAUUAAUGUAUAAAAACAGGGGCGAAGCUAGAUGCCUGAAUACAGGUCUGGCUGAACCUAGUAACUUUUGCUCUACACUACACUCUACAGUUGAAAAUUGUGGCUCCGCCUUGUAUAAACAUAUUCCUUUUUUCCUCAGUAUUAGAAGUGGGUACAAAUGGCUAAGUGGGGCAGGGUCAGAAUGGCCAUGGUAGAGGGGAGUGUGCAGUAGAACUACUAUACCUAAGAAUGGAUUUAUAAGCUGGAUUGCAAUGCAUGGAAGGUUGUUGACAAGGGUGAGGCUGACAAAAAUGAAACAUGAACAAGAAACAGAGCAUCUAUUUUUUGAAUGAUUUUAUGCACAGAAAUGUCUGCUGGAAAUACAACAAUGGUUAGGGGUAACAAAGCAAAAGACAAAUCUGCAAAGAAGUGCAAAAGAGCUUUCCUAUGGGCAGUGCUGGCAGCAGUGAUUUAUGGGAUUUGAAAAGCAAAAAAAUAAAGCAUUGUGGCAGGAAAGAGUACCUCAGCCACACAUAUAGAAUACUAGAAGUACUGAAUAGGAAAAAGAAAUGUAAAGCGAAAAAAUGGAUUGAAAAUAGAAAGUGGUAUGUGGACAUUAACGAUAGGAUUUUAUGUUUGUUUUUUGUUUUUUUUAUUUCUUUUCUGGUUUUGUAUUUCUGAUUUCCUGUUAUGUGUAAGUAAGCAUAGAAGAAUAAUAGAGGGAGAUAGGGGUUUUAUGAAUGAAAUGUGUUUGUUCGACCAAAAAAAACAAGUUGAAAAUAUUUUUAAAAAAAAACUUAAAUUUUUUAGGGGUAGGGGGUUGGUAGUGUGGGUGGGGGGCUAGUAGGGGGUGGGUUGAGGGCUGGUGGAGUUGGUAGGGGGAGGUUGGAAGAGAGUUUUGAAAAAUGUUUUUCUUAAGUUUUGAAAAGUCAUUUUCGUUAAAUUUGAGGAAAAUGAAUUGAUUUGAAAAAUAUUUGAGCCAAACAAACAUAAAAAAAAUUACACACACUAAGUUGAUCAUGAGCAUGCAUAUAAAAAAUUAUGAAAAGAUUUUUGAACAAAAAGUGAACAAGGAUAAAAGCUUCUUUCUCACUGGCCCCAAAACUUGUUCAUAUAGAAUCAGAUCUUCUAGAGGUUUUGAUCUGGAAAGCAUGUUACUUAUCUCGGUUGCCCCAUAAAUGCUUUGAUGGUAUGGUUACUAAGGUGAUUAAAAGAUUAAGUGCUUGGCAAGGUAACAUGGUAAGCAAAUGUUAAUUAAAAGUAUCAUUCAAUCUUUGCCUAUUUAUAUUCUUUCCCCCAAAAGGUACUUUGGAGCUUAUUGAAAAGCAUAUGGCAAGGUAACAUGAUAGGCAAAUGUUUCUCUCGCUUAAAUAUUCCCUAGCAGAAACUCUAAACUCAAAAACUUUCUGGUCUUGAUGACUCUGCAAUAUGGACCUAUUCAGAAGAUGACCAAUACUCUAAUGUUUCUGCCUGGGAGAAUAUUAUAGAGCACAAACAAAGAGAUAGCUUUAUUAAUAAUAUAUGGAACAAUUCUAUUCCUUCUAAAAUGUCUUGCUUAUGCUUGAGGCUAAUUUCCAAAAAACUUCCUUUCGACCUAAAUUUGGAACUCAAGACGAUAUAGAUCAUAUCCUACUCGAUCAUCAGCCUAUUGUCACCCCUAGAACCAGUACUCCUGACCAAGUGUGCCAUAAAAGUUUCAAGGAUUUUUUGCAGCCUAUUUUGAUUCAUUACAACUCUAUCUAUUGUCCAUUCAAGCACUUAAUAAUUGCACCAAGUAUAUAUAGACUCUAUCUAUUCACUCUCUCUUGCAGUCUAGAAAUGACAUUCUCUUUUCCAUAUUAUGAGGUUUACCUCCUCUCCUUUCCAUAGGAUUAGUAAUACAAUCCAAAUUCACCAAUGACCUAAAUGGACUUUUGACCACUUGGUUUAGUCUUGACUUAUAAUCUAAAAGGACAACAUAAAAAUAAGAGUAUUAUAACAUAUAUGAUGUUUCCAACAUACAAUUUAUUUCUAACAUCCACAGGUGCUUGUUCUUAUUCAUUUGAACUUAUAUAUCCAUAGGCCACCACACAAACAUUUAAGAUGACAUGUUGCAUACUGAAAUAAGCAUAUGAAAAGCUAAAAUAACAUGAGUUUAUGCUCUUUUAAAUGUAUCAAAGAUAAAGGAACUAGGUUUUAAAAGUUUUUCUUUGUCUUUAAUUGAUCAAUCGAAAUUUUGAAAGUCUUCACCAUUAAAAGCUUCAGUGAAGAAAACAUCAUCCCAAUCUCAUGCAUCAUUCUCAUUUCUUGUGUCAGCAAAGUAUUCAUUGCUUCCCAUUGUAUUCUCCUAAUCAUUGUGAUAAAACAUUUAAAGUGAGUAUUUGAGUGAAUAAUAUAAUAAAAAAUGAAGUUAUAAGCAAAUAAAUUUAAUUAGUUGAUAGUAAUAAGAAUAUAGCUUUGAACUAACCUCCCUAGGAUAGUUAAAUCCAUGAAUAUUAGGAGUUAUUGCAUCACUUUGAAAUAAAGAAUGCUCAUUUUGUUGAAUGAUGUGAUUGAUUUUGUUGUUAUUGCUCAAGUUGAUAUUCGAAUUUGAAUAGGCAUACUCCAACCCCAAUUCUGAGGGAUUGUUCAAGUGUGUACCCAUAGUUGCUAGUGGACUCGAGACAGGCCUGAGAGAGAGCGAGAGAGAAAUAUUAGGAAUCAUAUCAUGUUAAACAGAAAAAACACCAACAUAAAUAUUUCAUCUUGUGUAGAGUUUGGGUGCAUAAUAAUCAUUUCUUUUUCAAAUUAAAACAAAUAACAUAUUAUUGGAGAACAAUAACUAAAUGCAUAAAUAUCGAAAGAAACCUUGUAGAAGCAUAAAUAUUUUUCCAGAAGUUCAUGAGAGAGUUGUUACUACUUUCAUCAAAAGUCAAUUGUGCCUGAAAAAUAUAUGACUUAACUAGUUUAGUACAGGGGGAUGUAGGAUCUAACAAAGAAUAACAUUUCAAGAAUAUUAGUUUACAUGUGAUUUUCCAAAUAUUUGUGUUGGACUCUGCUGGAUAUCUACCAUCAUGUUUUGUUGUGGACUCUGUUGAGUGGAUAAAAUAAUUAUAUCAAAACUCAAAAAGAAAUAUUUCAUUUCUUUAAGGAGAUCUUAAUAAGAAAUAAUAUUUCAAGAAUAUUAAUAUACCUGUGACUGUCCAAAUUUUGAUGGUGGAUUUUGUAGGACAUCUACAGCGGUGUUUAGUUGAUAGCUCUAUUGUACAGAUAAAAAUAACAAUAAUUAAAAAUCUCAUUAUAAGGAUAUCUUAGUUACUGCAUUUUGAAAAAGUGUUACCUGCAAUGGAAUAUAAGGCGAUGAGUUUUGAUUUUGAGAAAAUGGUAUAUUCCCACUCUGUGAAGAACUUGCAAAGGAAGGGGUAUAUGUGUAAUGGCUAGAACUGUUUGCUACUCUCUUUCCUUUGUCCAUCCAGUUUUGAUACAUACUCUCCUGGAUACUUGGACUAUAAUAAUAAUGAAAUAAUAAUUAAACAAAAAGGGAAAAGGAGAGGGACUUCUUGUAAAGAAAUAUCAUGUGAAAAUAUUAAUAACCUGUACGUAUCAAUCCAAUUAUUAGUAGUAAACUGAUGAUGAGUUAUUUGUUGUGCUGCAAAGUGAACAUCCACAUUUCCUUGUUUCUCCAAUUCCACCUAAUCAUAAUUUUCUUGACAUUAGUUAGGGUUUUACAUUAUUUCUUAAAAAUUGUAAAUUCACAUUAUUCUUCAAUGAUUAAUGAAACAGAAAAUUGGUAAAAGAACAAACUUUUCUAUCCCUGAUUUUUUGGAGAGAUAGUUGCAAGUUCUUUUCGCACCAACAAAGCUGAUGAAGAGGAACCUCUUCUUCUGGCCCUGGUUCGUAAUCCCUGCAAGAUCGUGUUGUUAGGCAAAAAUAUCGAUUUUAAUUUAUUAGUAUAUUACAUUUAGACAAUUGAAAUAGACUAUACUCUAAAUAUCUAAAUAAAAAUUUAAGGUGACGUCAAUGUAUUCAAUCACGAUGUUAUAAUUUUAGAACUACAAAGAAAAACACUUGUGAUACUAAAUCAAAUGACCUUAUAUGAGCAUCCACAAUUUGCAAUUCCAAUGUGCUCUUCAUUAUUUGUAGCUCCAAAUUCUAUAUCAAAGAAUUUCACAAUCAAAAUGAUGUUAUCAACUUCCCUCAUAGAUACAUAAUGAUUAAUUGAUAUUUAUUUCAAUGUCCCACUUAACUAACAAACUACUAACUAAAAUAGUAUUGAAAAUAUAAAAAGAACUUAUAAGAGAGGUAUCAAAUUAAAUUAUGCUCACCUCAAUCCUGUAGAGAUUAAGAUACCAAUAGCAGGUUGAAACAUCCAAAGGCAACCAUCAUGAGACAAUGUAAUUCAUCAGUGAGAGUCAAUUUCACUUUAUACAAAAGAAAUCAAAUAUGAUGAAGGAACUAGGUAGUAUCUAACAUUUCAAUGAAUUAAUAUUUUACAAUGCUAAUAUAACUCUACUUCCGUGAGCUUGCUCAUAUUGUCAGUCUCAACCUCGGAUAACGAAGAAGGUGAUUUGUCAAUCAGAAACAACUUAUGUACCCUAUAUAUAAAGGUAGGAGUAAGGUUACAUACUUAGUCUCCAAGACCCUACACAUGGGAAUACACUGAUGGCGAUGGCGAUGGUAGUGGUGGUUUAACACUUAUAUAUAUGGUCUUGUAAGUAAAGUAAGGCUAAAGGACACUAUUCUAAAGUACAUGUUUUUGGAAAUAGCAUUGAACAAAAUAAAACUAGAGAGAGACAAUAAAUUAGUCAAAGGAAGACAUGAGAAAGAAAAGAGAUACAAACUGCUUAUCAAGAAAGUAUCUCUUGCUAAUAUCUCCGCUGAUAUUGUUCAAUUGCCUUAGUUUUGCCACUUUUUCCUUCAUUUAUACAACAAAAAAUAUAUAUUAAUAAAUGGUGGUAAAAUUAUAUUUAUCAAAACUUUAUCAAUAACACGGUUUUUGACAUGAGUCAAACUUAUUGUCUUGAACAAAUUAUAUCUAGUUUAAAAAUCAUUUAGUAUUUCCUUAAUUUUGAGGAUAUUAGUUUCAAAAUUUUAAUUAUUACUCACUCCAUUUUCAUUUGUUUGUUUAAUUUUUUUUCUUUCGACAAUUUUAUAAAGUAAUAUUUUUGUAUUUCAUGAUCUUAGGCUAAAGAUGUGUGGAAAUUAAAAGGUAUGAGUAAUCAUUUAAUUUUGUGGUAAGAACUAUGUGAUAUUAAAAAUUUAAACUAAAGUGUAGCCAAAAAAGAUUCAAAAUAAUUUUGAUGAAGGAUUGAAUGUCCUACUCGAUAAUUAAUGUUCUCCGACAAGGUAAUUCUCCUCUCUUUGAAAUAGGGUAUGACUUAGAUUCAAGACCUAAUUAACUUGAUAUGAUAUUAGAUUCAAUACAUAAGAGGGCCCUAAGAAAUGUGGCAGUUGCGCGGGUGGAACUACCCUUGGUUUGUAUUUAAAGUGGGGGCAACAAAUGGAAUUACAGAUUAAAAAAUAUGUCUGGAUAAGGGGGAUAUGUGUGUGAUAAAUGGAAUACUGGAUACAAAAUGUUUGGAUCUGGGUAUGAUUUUUGUGUGUAAGGAGUGAAAUUGUGCUUGGACAAUGGGGGAUGUGUGUGUGAUAAAUAAAAUACUGGAUACAAAAUGUUUGGAUCGGGGUAUGGUGUAUGUGUGUAAGGUGUGAAAUUGUGCUUGGACAAUGGGGGAUGUGUGUGUGAUAAAUGGAAUACUGGAUACAAAAUGUUUCGAUCUGCGUAUGGUGUAUGUGUGUAAGGAGUGAAAGUUUGCUUGGACAAUGUGGGAUGAAUGUGUGAUAAAUACAAUACUGGAUACAAAAUGUUUGGAUCAGGGUAUGGUGUAUGUGUGUAAGGAGUGAAACUUUUCUUGGAAAAAGGGAAUGUGUGUGUGAUAAAUGGAAUACUGGAUACAAAUGUUUGGAUCUGUGUAUGGUGUAUGUGUGUAAGGAGUGAAAUUUUGCUUGGACAAUGGGGGAUGUAUGUGUGAUAAAUGGAAUACUAGAUACAAAAUGUUUUGAUCUGGGUAUGGUGUAUGUGUGUAAGGAGUGAAAUUGUGCUUGGACAAUGGGGGAUGUGUGUGUGAUAAAUGGAAUACUGGAUACAAAAUGUUUGGAUCUGGGUAUGGUAUGUGUGUGUAAGGAGUGAAAUUGUGCUUAGACAAUGGGGGAUGUGUGUGUGAUUAAUGGAAUAUUGGAUACAAAAUGUUUGGAUUUGGGUAUGGUGUAUGUGUAAGGAGUGAAAUUGUGCUUGGACAAUGGGGGAUGUGUGUGUGACAAAUGGAAUAAUGGAUACAAAAUGUUUGGAUCUGGGUAUGGUGUAAGUGUGUAAGGAGUGAAAUUGUGUUUGGACAAUGGGGGAUGUGUGUGUGAUAAAUGGAAUACUGGAUACAAAAAGUUUUGAUCUGGGUAUGGUGUAUGUGUGUAAGGAGUGAAAUUGUGCUUAGACAAUCUUUUUUCCUUUGAGUUAGCUUUUGGUAUAUGAAUUAAGCUCAAGACCUAACUUGACACAUUUUGUUAAACAAACUAAAACAAAUUAGGGAUAACAAAUAAAAAUGAAGCGACUACUAAUUUUCAAUUCAAAGUUUAGUUCAUUUCAUAUUCUUUUGUAGAUUAGACUAAUUGAUUCACAUUCAUAAAAACAAGAUAUAAGGUUAGAAAAUUCCUACAAAUAUAGAUCGAUAAUAAAUAUGUAAAAGAGUAAAGUACCUCAACAUCGACCAUAUGACUAUCCCAACAAAAAAAAGAAACUCAUAAGUUAGUGUUAUAGUAUAUAAGUUACUAAUAGCUAAAUUACAAAAAAAAAAAAUCAAUAGAAGAAAUUUAGGGCUAGUUCACAUACGUCAAUUUUCUCUCAAUCGGAAGCUCAAUGUAGCGUUGAAGAAUGUCUUCAAUUCUACAAAAGUAGAAAUUUAGUAAAAAUAAUUAAUCUAGCUAAUCCUUUAUACAGAUCAAUAACAAGCACAACGUAACAGAAUUUUUUUCGAUAUCGUAAAUGCAAUACCUAUUUUUGCUACAAAAUUUACUAAGACGUUGAGCAGGGGAGAACGUGACCAACAACACAUCCACAUCACUGGAAAUUGCAAUCUCUUUCGCCUUCUUUAGUAAAGUACUACGUCGCUUUGAAAAUGUGACUUGACGCUUUGACGUUUCUUCAAUUUUCUUAAUCUCAAUUUUUCUACCCAUCUUGAAGGUCUUUCAAGAAAGUCUCUUCCGUCUCUUGGAAAGACCAAUAGCUUAGAGUGUUGCGUGAAGUAUACGAAUAAUACAAUGACUGAAAAAGAAGGCUCCAAAAUAGCUAAUUUAUACGGUCAAAAAAGCUAUUAGUCAAAGAUAUAAUAAAUAAAAAGUUGGUCAACCCCAUACAAACAUGGCAUAUAUAUAUAUAUAUAUAUAUGCCAUGUUUGUAUGGGGUUGACCAACUUUUUAUUUAUUAUAUCUUUGACUAAUAGCUUUUUUGACCUUAUAAAUUAGCUAUGAGAAAAGAAUUUGAUAUACACCUCAACUUUGUCAUUUGGAACUGAUAUACCCCUCGUUAUAAAAGUGGCUCAUAUAUGCCCUUACCAUUAUAAAACGGCUCACAUAUACCCCUGCCGUUACAAAAUGGCUCACAUAUACCCUUCAUUAAACGGAUUUUAAAAAAUUUGUUUUUAAAUUUAUAUUUAUUACUUCUAAUUUUUUUUAAAAAAAUUAUUUAGGGGUAUAUAUGAUUCUUCUAUCAAAGUUCAAGGUAUAUUUUAAUUUUUUUUUCAUACAUAAAUUAUUUUUUGACUCCUUUUAUUAUAAUUAUUUGAAUUUCUUAUUCUUAUUUUAUUUUUUUCUUUCAUUCCUUAGUUUAAAGAAUAAAAAAUUAAACUAUUCUUUUUGUGUGUAUUGUUAUUUAAUUUUGUAUUCGAAGAAAAAAUUUGAUCAUCUACGAUAAGUUUUACAAGAAUAUUAGUGAAACAUAAAUAAAUUUGAUUAUCAAAAUAAUAAUUAUAAAUUAGUCAUUGAAACAAAAAAAAUCAAAAAAAAAUGUUUGACGAGGAUUAAAUUUGCUCAUAUGGGACUAUAUUUUGUAGAAAAUAAUAAUAAAAAAUUAGAUUAAAAUUAUUAUUUUUUUCAUUUUCCGUUAGAAGAAAAAGGUAUAUGUGAGUCAUUUGUUUACAAGUAGGGGUAUAUAUGAGCCACUUUUAUAACAAAGGGUAUAUCAGCUCUAAAUGACAAAGUUGAGGGGUAUAUCAGACCCUUUUCCCAUUAGCUAUUUUCGAGCCUUCUUUUUCAGUCAUUUUAUUAUUCGUAUACAUCACGCAGCACUCUGGAUUAAAAAUGUACUUAAAAGGAACAUUAUAACUCAAAAUCACACAAAUAAUUAAGAAAUAAAAUCAAAUAUAGUGAAUAAAAUUUUGUCAUUAUUAUUAAAAAUCAAAAUCAUGUAAGUAUUGAUAAGUGAAAACACACUCUUAAACAAUAAGGUCAAGGAAAGACAAAUACAUUAUAAAUGAUCAUUGAAAUUAACAAUAACAAAAAGGAUAUGAUAAAGUAGAAGAUGACAACCUCAAGUUACAUUGGAAGAAAAUUGAAAGUGAUCUACCAAGAGAUUUUACAUUGUACAUAUCCGUAUAUAUAAAUUAUUAUACUCACCUCAGAUUUUUCUUUCAUAAUUUGACUUUUGUAACUAAUAGUCUCAUAAAAGAAUAUAUAAUACUAAUAAGUGUUAGGAUUGAAAAUAAAUAGGUGUACUGCGAAAGCUAGCAAAACAAACCUCAAAAGACCAUAAUUGCAACUCUCAAAACCCUAGGACUACAUUGUGAAUGUUGAUUAAGUUAGAAGGAACAAGUAUCUAUUUACAAAGUCCUAAGCCUUUUCCUACAAGAAAAAAGACUAGUAAAUCCAAAAUAUUUUGCUAAAAGAAAAAUUUAUAUGUGAUAUGAAACUCGGAGAAAAUAAUACCCAACAAAAUCUCUCUCUUGACCUGAAUUUCUGGUAAAAUAAUUUUAUCCAUCUUCUUCACAUAAUCUUCAAUGUUUGUUUAUCCUCUCCAUAAUAUCCUCCAGCAAAUCUAUGUCUCCACACAAAUAAUUUCUCAAACAAAAAUCUUCAUUACUGUCAAAAAGGUUGCGGCUAAAACUACACUCGCCAAGAUGAACACCCAUUUCUAACCUGGUGGCUCCAUCAUUGAUUUAUGGAUCUAAUACCACUUGUUAUGACUUAAAUAAGCAGGUGUAAUGCAGAAGCAAGCAAAACAAACCUCAAAAAACCAAGAGUAAGAAGGCAAACGAGAAACACACCAAAAGACACAAAGAUUUAACAUGGUUCAGUCAAACAACCUACGUCCACAAAGGAGAUGAGAAAUCCACUAAAAAUAUGAGACUACAAAACAUAGAGAGAAACAACUUCAACCAAUUCACUCAGAAUACAGGAGGUACACACAAUUCUGCCCCAUAAUCGAACUCUCAAAAUAGUAGGACUACAUUGUGAAUGCUAGUUAAGUUAGAAGGAACAAGCAUAUAUCCAUAGAGUACUAAAACCUUUCAUACAAGAAAAGGAGUAUUUAAUAUAUUAAAACUUUUCCUGUCACGACCCAAAUCGGGCCGCGACUGGCACCCACACUUACCCUCUUGUGUUAGCGAACCAACCAUUCUAAACCUUAACAUUUCAAUAUAAUAUCAACAGAAAGUAAUGCGGAAGACUUAAACUCAUUAAUAAAAUCAAUAACUAUUAUUAUCCCCAAAAUCUGGAAGUCAUCAUUACAAGAACAUCUAUGAUCAAAGUACUAAACUAAGAGUAUUCUAAAAAGCUAAAACAAGUAAAAGCUAGUCCAUGCCGGAACUUCAAGGCAUCAAGACAUGAAGAGGAAGAUCCAGUCCAAGCUAGAAGCAUUAGCUCACCCUGAUAUCCGGAAUAAUGAAGACUGGCUAGAGUUGCGGUUGAGUUGAAGACGAUGGCACGUUUGCUGCACUCCACAAAUAACAAAGAAGAAAACAUAAAAGUAGGGGGUCAGUACAAACACAAGUACUGAGUAGGUAUCAUCGGCCAACUCAAAAUAGAAAACAGUAUAUACCAAGUAAUAUCAUAAAAUCAACUAUGAUACUCAACAUGUAGUAUUUACAAUUACCAUAAUCCUUGGUUACAACACCAAGCUCAUCAAUGAGGACUCACGCCUCCUCAUCAUACUCAUUUGGGAUUUAGGUUCAUUAGAUUGAGUAUAUUAACAUCUUUCAAGAUUCAUUAUUUUUAUUCCUCUCGUGUCAGUACGUGACACUCCGCUCCUCAAUAUACUAUCCUGGUGUCAGAACGUGACACUCUGAUCCUCAAUCUAUCCUGGUACCGGAACGUGGCACCCGAUCCAUAUUCUACCCUGGUGUCGGAACGUGACACUCCGAUCCUCAUUCUAUCCUGGUGUCGGAACGUGACACUCCGAUCCUCAUUCUAUCCUGGUGUCGGAACGUGACACUCCGAUCCUCAUUCUAUCCUGGUACCGGAACGUGGCACCCGAUCCAUAUUCUAUCCUGGUGUCGGAACGUGACACUCCGAUCAUCAUUCUAUCCUGGUGUCGGAACGUGACACUCCGAUCCUCAUUCUAUCCUGGUAUCGGAACGUGGCACCCGAUCCCCUAAUCUCCUUCUAUCAAUUCAUCAAGCCUUCUUUCUUACCAAGGCAUCAUCAAUCACAGUAUUUUAGUUCAUCACGCCUUCUUUUAUACCAAGGCCUCAUCAUUAACAAAGAGAUUAGGUUUUUUCAAGAUUUAGGAUUCAAUAACUUCAUCAUGCUUAUAUAAUCACAAUUAUAUAAUUACAUUCAUGCAAGCAUACAAUUAAGCAAAUAGCAGGGUUUACAAUAUUAUCAAUACAUAUCAUUCGCUAUUAAGAGUUUGCUACGAAUAUCGUAAGAGAAACCAUAACCUACCUCCACCGAAGACUAGUGAUCAAGCAAGCAAAUUCCCAAAGCUUUGUUCUUCUUCUCUCCCUGUUCGUUCAUUUUCUCCCUCUCUUGUGCUUUUAAAUUUUCUUAUUCAAACCCUCUUUAUUUUACCCUAAUUAGCAUAUAAUUAAGAAUAAAAGGUGGCAAUAAUAACCCACUAAUUAACUGAAGGUUACCUCUUUUAACCCCCAAGAAAUUUAGUUAUUAAUAUAAACCCACGAAAUAUAUAAUUAUAGCAGGAAUAGUCCAAAAUGCCCCUUUAAAACUUAACCAGAAAUCCGACUCCGACUGGGAUUACGCAACCUGUGACGGCCCAUCGCGCCUGCGACGGUCCGUCAUGCAGGUUCGUCAGAGACCUCGAUUUCCUUAAGGAGUCAGUGGCAGCCCGUCGUACCUACGAUGGUCCGUCCAGCACUUCCGUCACGAUGUUCAGAGAAUCAUUCCCUGUACCAAAUUCUCUAGAGUUGAAGUGUUUUGAAACGGUGGAUCACGACGGUUCGUCGUGCCUGUGACGGUCCGUCCUGCAUGUCCGUCACAGAGUUCAGAGAGUCGAUUUCAGCACCCAAAUUUCAGAAUUUCUAAGUGUUUUGGGACGAGACACCCUCGACGGUUCAUCGUGUCCAUGACGUUCUGUCGUGGGUUCCGUCGUCUCAGCCUGUUUUUUCAGAAAUAAAAUCUGCUGCUCAAAACGACUAAACAGGUCGUUACAUUUCCCUAAAAGGAAAACUUUUUAUGGUAAGAAUUCAGAACAAAUAAAUCCAAACAAAUCUUCCCCUUGCCCUGAACUUCUGACAAAAUAAAUUUAUCCAUCUUCCUUACAUAACCUUCAACAGAUUACAUCUUUUUUCCAUAAACUCCUCCAUCAAAUCUAAGUUUCGACAUAGAGAACCUCUCUGAAAUAAUUUCUCCAACAAAGAUCUUCAUUACUGUAAAAAAAAAAAGGUAGCAGCUAGAACUACACCCGCCAAGAUGAACACCCAUCUCUGACCUGGCUCGAUCAUUCAAAUAGAUAAUCAACAACAAUCAAUGCUUUGAUAUCACUUGUUAGGAUAAAAAAUAAGCAGGUGUUGUGCGGAAGCUAGCAAAGAAAACCUUGAAAGACCAUGAGUAAAAAGGCAAUCGAGAAAUACACCAAAAGAGAAAGAUUUAACGUGGUUCGAUCAAUAUUGAGAGGGAUAUUGGAAGGUCUUAAGGGUGUCACGGGAAACAGCUUCUUCGAAAAAAAUGCUAUAUAUAUGUAAUCAAAACUAGAAAUAUAACAAAGAUAUAUGUAUAAAGUGUUAAAUCUUUACAUAAGAGUGUGCGUGGCUUAGAUGGUAAAGUUUCCAAAUUUCUUGUUCACGAACUUGAGUUCGACUCCCUACCAAUGUUUUUAUUCAUAUACUAGAUAUCAUGUGUCCGCACCAGCGCAAGUCCAACGUAUGUUAAUUUUUUUUUCAAUUUAUAUGACACAAAUAAAAUUUGAAAAAGUGAACUAAAUUUUUUAUGUUUUUUCUAAAAAAAAAUUUAAUUGUUAAUUUAUGUAAUUUUAUGUUAUUUUCGAAUAAUAUAUGUUACUCCAUCUGUUUUAUUUUAUGUGAUACAAGUGAUUUUAGGAAAGUAAACAAAAUUUCUUAUAUGAUUCUCACAUAUUUUUAGUUUUCAUUUUACUGUGAUUUAUAGUACUUUUUAGUUUUUACGUUAUUUUCAAACAAUAUGUGCUAUUUUUUUUGUUUUGAUAAAAAUAAGGGAGUCAACCAAAUUUCAUUAUGUUUUUUAGCUAUGUUUUUCUAAAAAUAUCUUAAAUUGUUACAUUGCGUUAUUAAGCUUUUUUUUUAAUGUAAUUUUCAAAUAUGUAACAAAUUAGAAACUAAAACGAAGAAUUAAAGUUUUCAAAUCAUUAUAUUUGUAUAUUAAAAUGUUCAAAUCUUUAAAAAUCCACAUAUAAGCACAAAUUAAUAGAAGGAAACCAAACGAUUUUUUUUCAAAAAUAAUAUAUGAAAACUCAUUUCAAUAAUAACACAUAUAUAUAUUUCAUUUUUAAUAUAUGAAUACCUCCGUUUCGAUUUAUGUGAACUUAUUUGAUCAUCAUUCACUUCAUAUAUAGAAAGAUGUUUGUAGCAUUACUUAUUCUUGAUAGAUUUUUGUUAAAAUGAAAGUACAUUUUUAUUCUUGGUCAUCUUUACUACAAAUAUAUCAUCCUAUUCAUUUUUAUUUGUAAAGUUACUUUUUGACAUCUUUUUCUUUAAUUCCAAUAUAAUAUAUGUUGUUAAUUUUAUCACACUAAUUUAUUUUCAAGUAUAUUAAUUAGAUCAAAAAUAAAGAUUGAAAUAAUUAAUUCAUAAUAUUUUUAUAUAAAAAGUAGGCUUUUUUUUAUAAGCGUAGUGAAUAUCACAAUAACUCACAAAAGAAAAGAAAACAAAAGAAAGUGAAGCAAUAACAAAAUAAGUUAAUGGUAAUAAUAAUAACUUAAGAUAUUUCUAGAACUAUUUAAUUUUUUUGUUAUCAUUUUUGAUAGAUUUUUGUUAGCGUGAAAUUACAUUUUUGCCUUUGAUUAUUAUUCACUUUAUAUAUAGAAAGAUAAUUCUAGAUUUAUUUAUUAUCUUUCUUCUUUCUUCAUAGAUUUUUGUUAGCGUGAAAUUACAUUUUUUCCCUUGGUCGUCCUCCCACUUCACUCUUCUAUAUCAUAGACUAGAUAUCAUGUGCCAAAUUCUUUUAUGGUUUUGAGUUUUGUAACAAUUAGAAUCAGAAUUCAAGUUUUCCAUUGUAAGUCAAUGUGUGGUAGUAUGUAUUGUCAAUGUAUGGAUUGGUAAGGUAGGAAAUGAUUGAUCGCAUCGGGUAUUGAGCAUUUGGAAGGACGUGUGCAUGGUUUACAUCAUAAUAUUUUUUAUUUUUUAUUUUUAAAGGAUCUAAGGAAGGGUUUCUCUUAAAAUCUUGGUUUAGAGUAUGAGGUAAAAUUUCAAAGGUUGUUGGUCAUAUUAUAAGAUUGGUAAGUGAAACACCCCAGAAAAUUUUAAGCUAAGACUUGAACCAUCAUUCGUAGUGAGUAAGUUUUUGCCAAGGAAUUCAAAAUUUCUUUAGUAUUAAGUUCAGGUUACCCGACAUAGCACCUUGAAUUCUAAAAAAAAACUAAAUUCGAAAGAGUGAAAUGUGAAAUUUUGCAAGUUAUGCUUAUGUAAGAGUUUUAGGUCAACAUCAAACGAUCCUAACUCUCAGACACGAAUGAGUUAGGUUAGCUACAAGAACCUUAGGAAAGAUCUUUGAAUUAUCUUUCGAACGGAUGAAGUUUUCUCUAAGUUUAGAGUUCGGAUGAGUGAGAUAUGAUCUUUUGAAGUUAGGUUGUCAAGUUAAUGUAGUUAGCCGAAAAUAGUAAGGGAUAUUUUGUUUUUUUCCUUAUACAAUCAUAUUUAAAUCUUUUUUAGUAAGGUUUUAACGCUCUAAUCCUAUUAGGUGCAGUUUUAUAAUCCUAAUAUAAGCCUAGGGCUUUAGUUGAGAGUUCAAGAAAGAAAAGAGGAGAAACGAGGAGACGAUCAAGCAUUCGUCAACAUUCUUGCGUGAUGUCGUGGAUUUUUGACAUGGGUUUGAUCCAUAAGAGGUGUGUAAGCUUCCAUAGUUUUGUUUUAGUUCACCCACACGUCAAUCAUGUUAUUUUCUGUGAAAUUUCAUUCUUGAAGCUGAAAGAAAAGAGUUCUUGAUAGGUGUCCUUGAAGUUCAUUCUAAAUCUUUUUGUGUUGGAGUUUCGAUGAUUUAUGAAGAUGAAAUUGAUUGAUUUUAGUGUUUUUUAGUAUAUUAGAUUGUAAUUAAGUUAAGUAAUUGAAUUCAAGUGACUGGUGAAGAAACUGUUCGAUUCUAGGCGAAUUAGCGAGAGAAAACGAGAAAAGAAUUUCGUCGAGUUUUCUGGGUUGGGGGGCCUGGGAUGAUACGCCAGAAAGAGCGCCCCAAACUCUCCUUUGAACUUUAAGUCUUGAUACUCGCGCCACCCAUAGCGCCAGUGUCUCCUACACCAUCCAAUUUGUCAUUGGUUGCUCCGUUUGAGUUCGUUUAAAGUACACCUUUACUCCCUUUCGAUUCUAACUAGUCUAAGAUACUUAUAAACACCUAAAAUAAUUUCUAACAUAAUAAUAACCUUGAAUUCAUAAUUCAAAUUCAUUAUAGAUAUGAGAGUUGAGUUCUGAGAAUUCUUUUUACCGAUCUAAGAAAGUCCCUUUUGAGUCCUUUUUAGUGUCUUCUACAAUUUCUAGUAACUUGUUUUAAGACUUGAGCAAGUGAGUAUGAGAAGGAUGACAAUGUAUUCAUGAUCCUACCUUGACGUUAUGAGAUACUCCAUAUCAUGAACCAUAACUCUUGAAGAAAGUAUUUAAGUUCAAUUGUAAAUCCUUGGGUAUCAAUUUGAACUAACCUUUGAGGAAGUACGUAGGAGAAUGAGAAGGGUUGUACAUAAUGCCCGUAACAUCAGUAUGAAUUUCUUAAAUUGCGUAUCAUUAAGAGGAGUAGUAUCUUCAAAGUCUAAGUCUUGAGUAUUAAGUUUUCAACCCUUUUGAGAAUAUACUCCUAAUCAUGGGACUAUUGUAUGUUACCCAUUAAGUCCUUGAGUUGAAUUGUUCAUGCCCAUAAUUUCGCAUGAACCCAAUAAGUCGAACAAUAUUGAGAUGAGAAGAAUCUUUGAGUCCUUGAGUUAAGUAGUUUAUGCUCAUAAUUCCGCAUGAACCCUCUGAGUUGAGCAUUCUUGAAAUGAGCAGUAUCAUUGAAGUUUGUGAGUUCCAAAUUUUAAAUUCUACCUAUGGUUAUUUAAAACCUUGCAUUGAGCCGUCCAUGUCCAUCAUUUGGCAUGAACCAUACUUUAAGAAGUCUUAUACAAUUGUUUUAACUUUAUUUUAAGACUUAAAGCUUUGAAGUUGAGUAACGAGUAAGAGUAAAGUUCAUUUUUUUAAAAUGGUAUAUGGGAAUGAAGUAUUCCCAAGAAUAAAUGUUUUCACAUUUAAGAUAAGAGGAAAUUGAGAUUUUCAAAAGAGUUUUGAACAAGAAAGGGAACAUCGAUUCCACAAGAGAGCUUUUAAGCUAAGUUUUGAAUAAUUAUCUCAAACCAAAGAAAGAAGUUGUUUUAAAAAUAUAUGAGCUGUGCAUUUUUAGGAGUAGUAUUGAGCACCGAUAUAGAGUUGCGAAUUCAUAUUAACUCAAGUCUCCAUAAACUAUGUAUAUAUCAUGGGUAUCAAAGGGUCAUACUUUUUAGAUGAUCACUUAAGUUAAGCUAGUGGAUCCACUAAGUUAAGUGUUCUAUAUGAGGUCAAAGUAUAGAAUAGUUCUGGCAGCGUGGGUAAGACGGUGUAUCACCACUUAGGCUCAUAGUGGUGUUUGUUGGUUAGAGCAUCUCCAACGGAAACUAUGUUACUUAUUAUAUAAUUAAAGUUAAGUUUGUUAUUGCAUUUUUGUUAAUAAACUAAGUUGUUUUUACUGUUUUAUAAAGCUUUCUAUAUUGCAUGUGUAUUGUUGCUUUAUAUUAAGUUGAGUAUCCAAAGUUGAUUACCAAGAGUUGAGUAUCUAAUCUCUGAGUUGAGUAUCUUAUCCUUGAGUACUUCUGAGUUGAGUAAGUUGAGUAGUUUUGAGUAUUCCUUGAGUUGAGUAAAUUUGAAAAGAAGUAUGUUUUCAUUUUGAUCAAGUUUAAGCUUAUGUUUAUGCUUUAAAAUUUCCUUACAUACCAUUCCACGUACUGAGCCAUUUGUCCUGCAUCUUUUGAUGAUGCAGACACAUGUCUUUAGGAUCAUCAACAUGAGUUUCGUUGAUACAUACGAGAAUUUGAGUAAGCUAUAGUGAGCUUCCAUGCUUCCGGAGGAUUUCAUUACUUUUCAAGUUCAGUCAAGAUGUCAUGGGUCUUGUCCCAACUUCCAUCAUGAUCAGUUAGAGGCUUAAUAGAUAGUAUGUAUAAUUGAGAAGUCUGUAUUAUUCAUUUAUUUUAUUAACUGUUUUAAAGACUUAAGUUGUCUAUUUUAUGGAGAGCUGAAUAUAAUUUGCUUUUGUUCAAAGUUUUCAUUUGAGUCAAAGUUUUGUAUUUUAGUUUCAUGAAUUUUUAUUCAAUUUUUAAGCUUUUGCAUGCUCAAGUUAGCCUUUCGCUGGUAGUCAGCCCGGAUGAGGGUUCGUUUGGGGAACAACAAUGGUUCUGGAGUGUCGGUCAUGUCUAGGGUGUAGACUCGGAUCGUAACAGUAAGCGAGUUAGAGAAAGGAACAAGAGUCUCAUAUAUUAAAGAGUUCAACAUAUUUGGAAUUUAUGUCAUGGUAAGAAUACAAGAAAAGUGAAGGAAUAUUAAUAUAUCCUGUGUAGACCCUUGGUUCGGAUUUGAAGGUUGUAUGGAUUUUUGCCUUUGAAUUCAGAUAUGACUAUAUAAUCUAAAAUUGUUCGCAAUAGACUUACUAGGGGUUUAUCAACGACCUUUAUGACAUUUGGGUUUUUUUUGGGUGACAAAUAAUGAUAUGUGGAAGAUUACACGUUCUUAUGUUGGUUUUGACUAUUCAAAUUAUAGUAGAUGGCUUAUGGGGGCUCUACGAUAUAGACCUAGAGUUCUACAUGGUUAUUGAUGAUUUCAAGGAGAUUGAAACUACUGUAUGUUAGAAAAAAAUACUACAAUACUGAUAUUAGAUUGGAAAUUAUAAAGUAAUAAAUAACUUAUCACAAACACUCUGUCGUGGCAAGCCACUUCCUUGAAAGAGAUUUCGGCCCGACGCUGAUUCAAAUUGUAAUAAUCGAUCACUCCCCAAGGUUCCACAGUUACUCUCAAACGCGUGCAUUCGUGGCUGAAAGUUUGGAGAUUCCCACAAUCAAUUGCCCAAAAAUAUUCUAAGAAUAAGCUUAAAAAAAGAAAGGAGAAACAACUUUUUCUCUUUUUUUUUUUGGUUUUUGUUGUAUAUUAUGCUCACAAAAUGUCAUGCUAAUAUAGAUAUUUCAAGAUGUGGCGUUUCAAAUAGAAGAUUUAUAUUUUUUUUCAUUUGGAGAAACUAAUUGUCAAGAUUAAUGGCAUUACAGGUCAUUACUUCACUUUUACAUAAACCCCUUGUUGUCUUUUGGAACGGAUAUGUUUUCUCUUUUGACACGUAUUAUUGUUAUAUCUUUGCAUUAGACAUAAUUAACAUAAUUAGAAUUGACUCAACACUAUUUUGAUAGGACUACUCAUACCGUUGUGAUGCAUUACAUAUACACGUGAUGGUAAAUAGAAGUUAUGUGUUCAUGGUAUAUAGAAGUAUUGUGGUGACAAAAAAUUUCUCUAAGUUUUGGUAUGAAGGACAUUUUGAAUGUUAGAUAAAACUUAGUAUGUGAAAUAUUACGUGGAGUUGACAUUGAUAUUUUAGAUGGUUCAAUUGAGUCUAGAACUUCGAGUUUAGAUGUGUAGCAUAUUUCGUUUGCGAACUCGGGGUUCCAAAAGAAUCCCAAAGAUCCAUUUGAGAAUUUUGUACUUCAUGUGAAUUGUUGGCUUGUGUUUUCUGGUGGAUAUCAUUUGUUCUUUGCGAUCAUGACAUGCACCCUCUCUUGCAAUCGCAUAGGGUUAGUUGUGUCCAUCGCUGAUCACGUAGCUUUUUUUCCGUGUCAUCACGAUUGUGUGGCUGGACCUCGUGAUUGCAAUGAUUAAAAUAAAUGAGUUGACCUUCUAAGUCAUAUUGAUCUCAAAGCCUUGUUUAGCAUGAUCGCGAAGAGUAAUUUUCACCUAGACGGAAUAUUUUAUCAAAAUUAAGAUUUCAACCUGAUUCCUCAUUUUUUUUAAUAUUGAGAGCUCUAUUUUGGCGAUUUCAAAGGGAUUAGUCAACAUUCAUCAAUUGGAUCCCAACUCUAUUACCCAUAGAUUAAUUCAUGAUUUUGGUGAUUAAGAUUGAGUGGUGAGUCCAACUUUUGAAGGCUUUUGAAAAGGUUUAAGGCUUAUGUUAAAUUGGUGAUUUAAGAAUUGAUUCAAACUCCGUUUUUUAUUUGGUUUUCACAGUUGGUUUCAAAAUUAUUUGGGUAACACAAUUUUAUAUAAAUAUACAGAUUUAGCUUCAUUUUUGAAAUUGGGGUUUUGGGUCAAUUUGACCUCAUUUUCCAAAACUCUUGAUAUGGGAGCUAAUAGUCCCAAAAUCUUGUUGUGUUUCACUACAAUAAAAAUAACUUUUAGAGUCAAUAAAUAGACACAUUAAUAAAGAAUGCUAAAGUCUUUAUCGGCAUUAAUUAAAUGUCUUUAUAUCCAACGUCGCUAAAUGCUUCCGAGACAUAUGUAUAAGGACAGCUAAUUUUCGCUAAAAAUACAUAUUUAGCGGCAAUUGAGCUAUUAUCGUUAAUUAAUUGUCGAUAAAGAUCAUUUUUGAUGUGGUGAUUACUUAUUUGAAUAAAUUGUGUUGAAUUAGAGACUCGACAAAAGGGAAAAGUGCAAGUCCGGGAGUGAUUGUUUUGAUUAAUUAAGGCAAGUGAACUUGUUAACUUUUCGUUGAGUUUAUUGAAACUUGUAUGUCAUAGUAUGAUUGUAGUACUGGGAAUUGGUGAAGGGAUUCAUAUGAGAAUUUGUGUAUUGUAAAUUUAUGAUAUGACCUUGUUAAAUAACUUGGGUUAUAACGAGAAUCUAGUUGAUUUGUAUAACAUGAUUAUAUUGUGGACAAUUGGUCGAAUGAGAUGAUUGACUUGAAGGUAUGCUUUGAUUGUCUGUUGUUGAUGUUGAUUUAUCGUCCUCAUAUUUGAUCAUUGCACUAUUGUUUUUGCGUUGAUAUUUGAAGAAACCUAUCCCCUAGAACAAGAACCAGGUUCUUGUAAGUUGCUUUUAAGUAAAGACACAAACACUUAUUAAAUUAAAAACCUUCCUCACUUAAGGUUUCCUUAUUUGUCUCAACUUGUACCUUCAAUAUAUUAUUUUUGGCUUUGACAAAUAACUCUAUUUCUUGACUAUGUGGCUGCAUCAUUUUGCUACUUUAUUUUGUAUCGCUUUGGCUGCUGCUUUGCUGCAUUAAUUAUUUUGCAUUUCUUGUCUAUCAUCAAAAUAUUGAUUUUGAUUAACUCUAUUUCUUGAAGUAGAAUUAUCGGUUCUAUCAUAUUCUCCCUUUUUUAUGAAGACAAAUCUAUCUGUGUGAUGCAAACCUCUUCCCCCUUUUGACAAAUCAAAAAGAGUCCAAUAGCAGCUAAACAAAAUCAAAUAACAUUCAUAGCAACAAUUGAAGCUCAGCCAGUUGAGCACAAGAAAAUGUUCUGGCAACAAAAAGAAGAGUAACAACACAGAGUUAAACAACCAAAAUAACCAGGUUCAAACAAGAUGCUUUUCAAGUUGAAGUUUGACUAGGCUUGGUUGAAGCAAAAGCAAGCAUAUCCAGAACUCUGUCAACCCUUGCAUUGUUAGCAAGUUACAGCUGCACCAACUGAUCUUUAAACCUAUGAAUUUCAGCAUUUGAAGUAUGAAGUUCAGUACGUAAAUUCUUGUUUUCUAACUCAAGAGUGGCAUAUUUUUCUUCAGCCACUUUGAGUUCCCUGAGUAAUUGAGCAACAGGACCAAAUAUACGUGGAGAAGCAUUUGCAACCUGCUCCGACUCCAUGGGAAUGCCACAAUCAGCAAGAAUGGUUUGAGUAAACAUAUCUGCACGAGUCAAAAUCCUACCUUCUCCCAAUGGUACUUCAAAUGCAUCAAACACUCUAGUUAACAGAUUUCCAAAAGCUAAUUGAUGAGAACCUAGUUUAGGAUCAACAAUUCUAGCAAGAUGUUUGAUAAUCAGUGUGGGCCAGUCAAUGCGUUCUUUGCACUCAAGAGCAUUCAUAAGUCUCAUGUCUCUUAUGGAGGCAAUGUGACGUUGGUGAUCUCUAGGUAGUAUCACCUUAUGUACUAUCUCAAAGAGAAGCGUAUGCAAUGAUCUCAUAAUGCCCUUUAAAACAGUUUGUGCCCUAGAAUUGACUCUACCUUGAGAGAAUUUAGCUGGCAAGCUAGAAUGUUUAUCAAAACCCCAAUGAUACUCAUUAAUACCCACAGAUGGUAUAUGCAAGAUUUCCCCAAGUUUAGUUGCAUUAAAAACAAUGUCAACUCCCUUCACAUUAGACGAUACCACAUCUCCUUCCAAGAUUACCAAAUUUGUAUAGAAAUCUACCACUUCUUGUUCAUAAAUAAGAUUAGGUUCCAGAAAUAACUCCUCCCACCCCUGAAACCUUAGUAGUUCACAAACCUGCUUAACUAUAUCCAUUGAUUGUAUAUCAGGGUGAAAGGUUCUACCCCUAAGCACUGUUUUGGUUUGAAAAUAUUUUUUCUUUCCCACUUUGAGAAAUUUAUCCACAUUUCUUUUUGCAUAUUUUGAUUUUGACUGAGGAGUUUCAGAAUGUUUACCCUCAGAGACAUCAUCUAUUUCAGAAUCAAGAUUCAUUGGAGAAAUAGAUGAGUGAAUAGGAGACUUACCCAAACGACGACGCUUCACACUAGAUGUUGCAUCAUCAGUUGGUUUGACCACAUUCACACUCCGAGUCACUGGCCUGUGUGGAUGAAUCUGUUUAACUGCAAUGUACUUUCUUGGCCGUCUUGGUUUUUUAGGGUGAAGUGUGCUCAGAAGAAUGUCAUCAUUGAUUGGAGAAUGUGGAGAUGGUGGUGGAUUUUUAGGAUUGGUUUUAUGAGAUGGGGAAGUUGAGAUUUUUUGGGACAGUGGUUAUGGGAGUUUCUGGAUUUGGUUGUAAUGGGGUUUCUUGGACUGGUGGUGGUGGUGAUUUUGUGACGGGUGAUGGUGGAGAUUCUGCAACUAGAGGUGGAGAUUUUUCUUUCACUGGUGAUGGUGGAGAUGUAGACGGAUCUGAUUUGGGUGAGGAUAUAGAUGGUUUGGUUGGGAGUUGGCUUUCUUCCCCUUGAUUAAGCACAGUAUCAACGACGGGGUUCUCUUCCCCCUAAGAAGAUGCAUUGUCAGAUGAAUUUUCGUCAUCUGGGUAAGCAACGAGUGGAUUAACAAUGGUGGUGGAGAGGAUUUUUUUUCUGAAGAAUGAAGAUGAGAAAGAGUUGGUUGCUUGUUUAGAGAGAGUGCUUUAUUGGGAACGGUUUUGAUGUUGUAUUCGAGGGGUUUGAGUAAUUAUGGGUGAUUGACAUCGAGGAGACGUGUGCUUUGACGGUAGCACCUGCUUUUCAGAGACGUGACAUAGGAGAGAGAAGAUGAAAUUGUCCCCCCCCCCUUUUUUUUUAAUUUUUGACAGCUAAGUGUAAAGAAGUUGUUGAACCAACUUGACUGAACCUGGUUCAUAUCUCCUUAGAACUUGGUUGGACAGAAUUCAAUCUAGAAAGAUGAGCCCUAACUCAAGUCUAUUUUUCUGAAAUGAUUCUCUCCCUAGUGCCUUGGUGAAAAUAUCAGCAACUUGAUCCUCCGUUUUGCAGAACUUCAUUACUAUGUUUCCUUUUUCAACAUUAUCACAAAGAAAGUUAUGUCUAACAUCUAUGUGUUUGGUGCGUUUGUGUUGAAAUGGGUUUUUGACCAUGUUCAUAGCACUUGUAUUAUCACAUAGAAUAGGAAUACGACAUGUUUCUAUGCCAAAAUCUGUAAACUGUUGUUUCAUCAAAAGAAGUUGGGCACAACAUGAAGCAGCUGCAACAUACUCAGCCUCCGCAGUAGAUAGAGCCACUGAAUUUUGUUUUCUAGUUGCCCAUGAUAUUAAACAUGGUCCUAAAAAGUGUGCCAUCCCAGAGGUACUUUUUCUAUCAACCAUAUGUCCUGCAUAAUCUGCAUCAGUAAAUCCUUUUAAAUCAAAAGAGUCCCCAGUUGGAUACCAGAGAACCAGGUUCAUUGUGCCUUUUAAAUAUCUCAGGAUUCUUUUGACAGAUUUUAGAUGUGAUUCCUUGGGACAGGACUGAAACCGUGCACAUAGACCAACACUAAAGUCUAUAUCAGGUCUACUGGCAGUAAGGUAUAGGAGUGAUCUAAUCAUACCUCUAUAUUUAGUGUCAUUUACUGGUGAACCUGGUUCAUCUUUAUCAAUCUUUGUUGUUGUCCCAAUAGGUGCGUCAUUUGACUUAGUUUCAUUCAUAUCAUACUUCUUCAGUAAUUCCUUGAUGAACUUUUGUUGAUGAAUUGAUGUUCCAACUUGAGUUUGCUUAAUUUGGAGUCCCAAAAAGAAGUUUAACUCUCCCAUCAUACUCAUCUCAAACUCACUAUUCAUUAGUUAAGCAAAUUCUACCCCCAGUGCGUCAUUGGUUCCUCCAAAUAUGAUAUCAUCUACAUAUACUUGGACUAUGAAUAGAUCUUUACCUUGUUUUCGAAGAAACAGUGUAUUAUCAAUUUUUCCUCUUGUUUAUCCAUGUGUGAGAAGAAUAGUGGACAAUCGAUCAUACCAUGCUCUAGGUGCUUGUUUUAGCCCAUAGAGUUCUUUGUCCAGUUUAUAUACAUGAUCAGGAUACAUGGUAUUCUCAAAACCUGAGGGUUGUUUCACAUACACCUCUUCUUGCAGAUAACCGUUUAAGAAGGCAUUUUUGACAUCCAUUUGGUAGAGUUUAAACUCUAUGUGAGCAGCAUAUACGACCAAUAUUCUGAUUAUCUCAAUUCUUCCUACUGGUGCAAAGGUUUCAUCGUAGUCUAUACCUUCUUCUUGGUUGUAUCCUUGUACAACUAGCCUAGCUUUGUUGCGUACUAUUUGACCUUGUUCAUCGAGCUUGUUUCUAAACACCCACCUUGUUCCUAUUACCGUCCUGUUUUGAGGUUUUGGAACCAGGUUCCAUACUCUGCUUCUUUCAAACUAAUUGAGUUCUUCUUAAAUGGCACUAAUCCAAUCAGAGUCCAGUAGUGCUUCUUUUAUAUUUUUUGGCUCAAUUAGGGACACAUAGGAAGAGAAUGCACACAUGUUCCGUAAUUUGGAUCUUGUAGAGAUGCCUGAGUUAAGAGGAGUAAGAAUAUUUUGCAAAGGGUGAGAGCUUUGAUGUUUCCAACUGUGAGUUGGAAUGUUUGCUUGCUCUUGAGGUGCAGAAGAACCAGUUUCAUUAGUAGACUUAUCUCCUAUUUCAGGUGUUUUAUGAGAGGGUGUAGAUUCUUCUCCCCAUAUUUUUGGUUCUGAUAGCUUGGAGCAGGUUUCCUCAUUUUGUUCAUCCUCUGAAUUUCCUUCACCUUCACUACUAUUUUCAUUAAAGACAACAUGAACACUUUCUUCUACACGGUUUGUUCUUUUAUUCAGUACCUUGUAGGCUUUGCUUUGUGAUGAAUACCCCAUAAAAAUUCCUUCAUCACUCUUGGCAUCAAAUUUUCCCAAGUUGUCCUUGUCAUUGUUGUGUAUAAAGAAUAUAUACCCAAAGGCCCUAAGAUGUGCUAAAUUUGGUUUUCUUCCUUUUAGCAGCUCAUAUGGUGUUUUAUUUAACACGGAUAUGAUCAUACAUCUGUUUAUUAGAUAGCAUCCUGUGUUCACUGCUUCAGCCCAAUAGAAUUUUGGAAGUUUGCUUGAGAUUAACAUUGUUCUUGCAAUAUCUUCCUGUGUUCUAUUUUUCCUCUCAACUACACCAUUUUGUUGUGGUGUUCUAGGUGCUGAGAAGUUAUGCUCAAUCCCAUUUGUAGUACAAAAUUGUAGGAAUUGUGAGUUCUCAAACUCCAGCCCAUGAUCAGAUCUGAUGCUAAUUAUUUCUUUGUUGAAUUUUUUUCUGAAACAGCUUUGCAAAGAUUUCAAACAUAGUGAAUGUCUCAUCCUUUGUUGCAAGAAACAAUGUCCAAGUGAAUCUUGAGUAGUCAUCAACUAUUACAAACACAUAUCUUUUUCCACCCCUGCUUUGUACACGCAUUGGUCCACACAAAUCCAUGUGGAGCAGUUUUAGUGGCUUGGUAGUACUCAUUGUCAACUUUGGUUUGAAGGAUGAUCUAACCUAUUUUCCUUGAAUGCAGGUUCCACAUACUUGGUUGUCCCUGAAACUUUUGGUUGGCAGUCCCCUAACCAGGUCUUUAGAUAUGAGUUUAUUUAUAGUUGUCAUGCUAAUGUGUCUCAUUCUUUUGUGUCAUAGCAUGGAGCAAUCAGAGACUGCACUUAGACAUUUAAGAGUAUAUUCCUUGGAGUCAACAAUCUUGGCUUUGUACACAUUCUUGUGUCUCUUACCUAGUGGAACUAGGUUCCCAGUCACUGAGUUUGUUACUAUGCAUUCCUUUUCUGUAAAGAGAACAUUGUUUCCUUUAUCACAUAUUUGAGAUACACUCAAUAGAUUAUGUUGUAGGCCAUUCACAUAGUAUACAUUCUCAAUUGCAUGAGUAUCCAUUGAUCCUACCUUUCCAAUUCCCUGAAUUUCCCCACUUUUUCCAUUACCAAAGGCAACGUUCCCUCCUUUGAUGUUCUUGAGUGAGAGGAAGCUUCUUUUAUCUCCAGUCAUGUGUCUGGAACAUGCACUAUCCAAGUACCAUUUUUGUUGCUUCCUCUUCACUGAUCCCUGCAGUUUAAUUUUGGGGAUUAGAUUUUGGUACACAAAUCCACUUUGAUUUAUGCUUAGAGAAUAGAUGAAUAAGAUUUUUUCUGGCCCAUCUAGGAAGAGAUUUGACUGUAGGAAUUUGUUUUUGCUCAUUGGUUUUCUCAUGAUGAGGUUUUCUCAAAGAUUUCAAGUUUUUGUUAUGAGCAGUUUGUUUUCUUUGACAAUCAUGACUUUUAUGCCCUACCAGCCCACAGUGCAUGCAUAGACAAUCUAUGUUGGGAUUUUUUACUUGAGAGCUAAUUCUAUCAAAACCUAUCACAUGUAUCUCAGAUGUACGAUUCUUGUGAAUGUUGUUAAGCAAUAUGGAGGACCUGGUCCAUCUCAUUCCAUUGUCAGCUUCAGUUUUAGUCACAAGAAACUCUUUGGAGAGUGCUUCAUUCCUUUUAGUUACCAAGUCUAGGUUUUUACUUAGUUCAGUAUUCUUGGAUAAAAGAUGAAGAUUUUUUUUUCAAGAUUCUUGUUUUCUUCUCUUAGUGAUGCCUAGUCUUCCAUUAUCAAUUCCCUUUUUGAGUCUAUGGUUUUAUAUGCAUCAAUGAGAGUGUAGAGUAAAGAUUCUAGCUCCCUUUUUGAGUAUGAGUUAAGAUUGUUUUGUAUGUGAUGAAGACUAACCUUUUCAUUCAUAUCUUCUUCUUCUUUAUCCUCUUCAGAAUCUGAUCCAGCCAUGAGUGCUAGUAUGGUUUCUUGUGAUUGCAGGUUUCCUUUUCUUCCUUUGUUUCCACUGCUACAAGAGCAAGAAAGUCAUAAUCAUCUUCUUGUUCUAGUGCAAGAAGGGACUUGUUUUCUGUCUCAUCACCCUCAGACUCUUCAUCAGAAGAAUUCCCCAUUGCUGCAAAGGCCCUUUUCAUUGAGAUAUCUGCCUCUUGAGUUGUCAUUCUUUUGUUUGAGGGGACAAACUUAUCUUUCUUGAUGUCUUUGCCCUUCUCAAAGUUUGCCUUUUUCUGCUCUAAAGCCCAAGUGGACAGAAUUUGAUGAAGUGAUCCGGGCUCCCACACUUAUGACAAACCUAGUCUUUAGUGUUUUCAUAUGGUUUUUGAGGAGUUUUCUUUUGAAAGGUCUGCCCUCUCUUUAGCAUUCUGGUGAACCUUUUGGUUAUAAGGGCAAUAUUUUCAUCUUCAAGAUCAUCUAAUGCAGUAGCCUUUAGAACCAGGUUCCUUUACUUCCUUUUUUCUCCGAUUUCCUUUUCUUGGUUUUUCUUGAGUUUAUAUGUGAUGAGAUUACCAAUUAAAUCAUCCAUGGCCAGUGACUCUAGGUCACAGGCUUCAGUGAUAGCCUCGACUUUGCUUUCCCAAGUUUCAGGAAGGACACUCAAGAGUUUCCUUACUGCCUUUCCAUUAGGAACUAUCUCUCCCAAGGAGUACAUCUCAUUGAUGAUGGAAGUGAACCUGGUGUGCAUGUCUUGUAUAGUCUCCCCUUCUGCCAUCCUGAACAGCUCAUAUUGCCUGUUCAAGUUAUCAAUUUUGGACUUCUUGACUUGCGUUGUUCCUUCAAGAGCGGUUUGUAGUGUUUCCCAUAUGGCUUUGGCAUCUUGACAAGAUGAGAUUCGAUUGUAUUCGUCUAGUCCUAUGCCACAGAUCAAAAUUUUCUUGGCUUUGGCAUUGUUUUGGAUUGCAAGCUUGUCUUCAACCUUCCAUUCUUUUCUUUUCCUUUGGAAUUUUGGUGAUUCCAUCAGUUGCAUUUUUCAUAGGUAUAGUUGGUCCAUCUAGAAUUACUCCCCAUAGAUCAGGGUUUUCGCCAAUAAGAUGGUCCAUCAUACGAUUUUUCCACCAUCCAUAGUAUUUUCCAUUGAACAGAAGUGGUCGUGUUUGUGAAGCUCCCUCUUGUGGGGUAUGUGGUGUUGUCAUUGAGUCUUUUCAAGGUGUGAAUCUUUUAUCGAAAAGACCUUCUCUGAUACCAAUUGAAGAAACCUAUCCCCUAGAAUAAGAACCAGGUUCUUGUAAGUUGCUUUUAAGUAAAGACACAAACACUUAUUAAAUUAAAAACCUUCCUCACUAAAGGAAGGAAAAAUCUCGUUUUAUUAAUUCAACUAAAAGAUUUUGUGAUUACUACUCAAUAAUCAAAAAGCCUUACCACUACUAACUCUCUCGAUUGACUACAAUCGAUUACUUCUACUCUCCAAAAGGUCAAACUCACCUUGUGUUACAACCCUCACUGAAACUCAACCCUACAAGAAGCCAAACCCACUCCUUGUACAAUAACUCGUAACUUACAAUCAAGAACGAAACAACAAGAUAGUUUUACACGUUUAAAACUUUCUCACUCAAGAACUUUUUAAACUUAGCAAACCUAUCGAUCUUGAAGACUUCUACUCGAUGAAUAAUUCUCACUUUUCUCUCUAUGUGAAGUCGUGAUCUUCUAUUUUGCGUAUGUCCUCUUUUUAUAGAUAUUCCUGCUACCUUAUAUCCUUAUUAAUUAAGGUAAGGAAAUUGUAAUCAUGGUUGAACAAGGAGUACUAAUUUUCCUUUUUAUUGUACAAUCCUUUUUCUAUACUUCCUUAUUUAAUAUAUUAAGGUUUCCUUAUUUGUCUCAACUUGUACCUUCAAUAUAUUAUUUUUGGCUUUGACAAAUAACUCUAUUUCUUGACUACGUGGCUGCAUCAUUUUGCUACUUUAUUUUGUAUCACUUUGGCUGUUGCUUUGCUGCAUUAAUUAUUUUGCGUUUCUUGUCUAUCAUCAAAACAUUGAUUUCGAUUAACUCUAUUUCUUGAAGUAGAAUUAUCGGUUCUAUCGAUAUUGUUGUACCACUAUUGUGAUGUUGAGAGGAAAUAGGGAACGGGUUACACAUUCAUGGCGGAUUCAUUGAGAGGAAAUAGGGAACGGGUCACACAUUCAUGGUGGAUUCAUUUAGAGGAAACAGGGAACGGAUCACACAUUCAUGGCGGAUUCAUUGAGAGGAAAUAGGGAACGGUCACACAUUCAUGGCGGAUUCAUUGAGUGGAAAUAGGGAAUGGCCAACACAUCCGUGGCAGAUUCAUUGAGAUGAAAUAUAAGGAGCCCUAGUCAGUCUUCGUUAUAUCAAGAUGCAGCAUUAUGUAACUCUCAUGUAAACCUAUACCAAGUUCUAGCAAGCAUGAUGCUUGUUUGGCCAUAAAAUGGUGCAUUUCUCUAUGCUUGCAGCCAGUAUAUACUGAUAGAGCUGUUAAUUAUUCAUUUGUUUUAUGAGACUGUCGAUUUAAGGAUUGGUCUAAAAUUCAAUGUUAAUGAUUUCACUUUGUGCGUUGAAGCUUCCAUACCCAUCAUUUCUUAUCUAAUAAGUCUUUAUCCUCAUACUUGUUUUCUUAUUAAGUCAAGACAAUUUCUAUGAUAUAAUAAAAUAAAAGUAUUCUAGUGCUUAAGUUAUUAUUAUGAGCAUAAUGUACAAGUUAACUAAAAUUUAUAUUAGUAUAUAAAAAUGAAAUCUUAAUUUUUGGUUAAAUUAAUCCCAAAAAAUGCAUGUAUUAAUAUUUGGCGACUUAUAACCCAAGCAAAAUGAAGCAAGUAAACGCUCAGCAAGAAGUCAAUGAUUUGUUCAUUAAAGCUGAAGCAUUUUAAACAAGUUCAAAACUGGAUUAUACCAGAUAUCUUUCAACAAGUAUUCUUCCAAAUCAAAGGAAAAAAAUAUAGAGGUGAUCCCUCCACUUGUUUCCAAGCUUCUUGCACCAUCUUCAUAUAAUCUAAAUGGACAACUUAAUAAUAAAAAGUAUUAAGACAAAUGAUGUUGCUAACACAAUUUAUUUCUAACAUUCAUAGGUACUUAUUGUUAUUCACUUUAAUAUAUAUAGGUCACCCUACAUACAUAAAGAUGAUAUCUUGCAUAUUGAAAUUAUAAGUAAAAACAAAGCUAAAACAUCAAGUCUGUAAUCUUUAAAAUGGACCAAAUAUAAAGAAACUAGAUUUUUAAAAAAAAUGUUUGUUUGUCACUCAUGGAUCAAUCUAAAUUUAAAAGUCAUCUCCACCGAAAGCCUCAUUGAGGAAAACAUCGUCCCAUUCCCAUGCAUCAUUCUCAUGUGUUGUUUCAGCAAAGUAUUCAUUGUUUCCCAUGGUAUUCUCCUGAUGAUUGUAACAAAAUAUUUAAAGUGAGUUUUGUGCGAAUAAUAUUACAAAUAUAAAUUUAUAAUAAAAAAAUAAAUAAAUUUAAUUGAUCAAUAAUAAUAAAAAUAUGGUUUUGAACUAACCUCCAUAGGAAAGUUAAGCUCGUUAACAUUAGAAGCUAUCGCAUCACUUUGAAUUGAAGAUUGAUCAUUUGAUUGAAUGAUGUGAUUGAUGUUGUUGUUAUUAUCCAAGUUGAUAUUCCAAUUUGAAUGGUCAUACUCCAACCCUAAUUGGGAGGGAGUGUUCAAUUGUGUACCCGUAUUCACGAGUGAACUCGAGUCAUACCUGAAAGAAACAAUGUUAAAGAACUACAAUACCAACAAAACUAUUAAAUGUAUUUCAUUGACUUAAUGUAUAUCAUAUUAUUACUAUUUAUGCAGUCUCUUUUAUCAUAAUAAUUUGACCUUGUAUAGAGUUUAGAUGCAUUGAUCGUUAUAAUUCUAAUGUCAUCAUAUUUUUAAGAAGAUAAAAUAUUAUCUUGCAAACAAUGAUUAAAUGCAUGAAUAUCGAAAGAAACCUUGUGGAAGCGAAAUCAUUGUGCCAGAACUUUGUGAGAGAGUUGUCACUACUUUCACCAAAUGUCAGUUGUGCCUGCAAAUUAUUAGUUAACUACUUUAGUACAAGGGCGGGCACUGAAGGGAUAAGAUUUUUUUUAUGAAUAACAUCUCAAAAAUAUUAAUGUACCUCUGACAAUCCAAAUGUUUGUGCUGAUUUGUGCUGGAUAUCUACUAGCAUGUUCUGUUGUUGGUUCUAUUGUACAGAUAUAAAUAAUUAUAUCAAAAUUAAAAAAAAUAUCUCACCUCUUUAAGAAGAUUUUAAUAAUAAAUAAUAUUUCAAGAAUAUUAAUUUACUUGUGAUUGUCCAAGUGCUUGUGUUGAAUUUUUAAAAAAAAAUCCCAUCUCUUUAAGAAGAUAUUAACAAAGAAUAUUAUUUCAAAAAUAUUAAUUUACCUGUAAUUGUCCAAAUGUUUGUGUUGAAUUCUGUUGGACAUCCACUACCAUGUGUUGUUGAUGGCUCUAUUCAACAGAUAAAAAUAAUGGUAUCAACAUUCCAGAAAAUAUUUCAUCUUCUUAAGGACAUCUUAACAAAAAAUGAUAUUUCAAGAAUAUUAAUUUACUUGUGAUUGACCAAAUGUUUGUGUUGGAUUCUUCUGGACACCUACCACCAUGUUUUGUUGUUGGCUCUAUUUUACAAACAAAAAUAAUAUUAAAAUUCAAAGAAAAAAUCUCAUCUCUUUAAGGAAAUUUUAGCAAGGAAUAGAAUUUCAGGAAUAUUAGUGUACCUGUGCUUGUCCCAAUAUUUGUGUUGGAUUCUGUUGGAUAUCUACUUCCAUGUUUUGUUGCUGACUCUAGUGUUAGGGUAAAAAUUAUUAUAUAAAAUUCAAAAAAAAAUAUAUAGUCUAUUUAAGGAAAUCUUUACAAUCAAGAAUAUUAAUGUACUUGUGGUUGUCCAAAAGUUUGUGUUGGAUUCUGCUGGACAUCUACCAUCAUGUUUUGUUGUUGACUCUAUUUCGCAUAUAAAAUAAUAUAUCAAAAAAAUAAAAAUAAAAAUCACAUAUCUUCAAGGAGAUCUUAAAAGGAAAUAGUAUUUCAAAAAUAUUAAUAUACUUGUAAUUGUCCAAAUAUUUGUAAUGAAUUCGCAUGAACAUCUACCAUCAUGUUUUUUUGCUGGCACUAUUGUACAAAUAAAAUAAAGCAUAUCAAAUAUUUGAAAAGAAAAUAUCUCAAUUUUUUAGAAGAUCCUAAAAAGUGUUACCUGCAAUGGGGUAAAAGGUGAUGGGUUUCGAGAAAUUGGCAUAUUUCCUAAAUGUGAAGAACCAGCGAAGGAAGGGGUAUAUGUGUAAUUGCUAGAACUGUUUGCUACUCUCUUUCCUUUGUCCAUCCAGUCUUGAUUUUGAAUAGUUGAACUGCAAUAGUAAUGAAAUAAUGAAACCAAAAGGAGAAAGGAAAGGGAUUUUUUUCAAUUAUGUGAAAAAAGUUAAUAACCUGAAUGGACUAAUCCAAUUAUUAGUAUCAAACUGGUGAGGAGCCAUUUGUUGUGCAACAGAGUGAACAUCCAUAUUUCCUUGUUUCUCCAAUUUCAUCUAAUCAAAAUGCAUUUGAUAUUAGUUGCGAUUUUACAUUAUUUCUAAGAAAAAUAAGUAUUUUCUUGAAAUUAUGAUUUCAUAUUAUUCGUCAAAUGACAAAUCAAGGAAAAUUAAAUGGUGGAAGAACAAACUUUUCUGGCCAAGAUUUUUUGAAGGGAGUGUUUCAAGUUACUCUCACACCAACGUAGUUGGUGAAGAGAAGGCUCUUGUUCUGCUCCUGUUUCGUAAUCCCUGCAUAAUCAUAUUGUUAGACAUAAUAUAUUGACAACCACUUAAACUUAGUAGUGUAUUACAUUUAGACAAGUGAAAUAUUCUAUAAUAUAAAAUGAAAAAUAAAGGUGAUGUCAAUAAGUGAAACCAUGAGACUAUAAUUAAGAAAAACACUUGUAAUACUAAAUUAAAUGACCUUAUGUUAGCAUCCACAAUUUGUAGCUCCAAUGUGCUCUUCUUGAUUUGUAGCUCCAAAUUCUAUAUUAAAAAAUUUCAAGUUAAAAUAACAUUAUCAAUUUUCGUCAUUGGCUCUAGAAUGAUUUAUUAACACUUAUUUAGACAAUUCUUAAUUUCUAUUUCAAGUCACACCUAAUUAACACACUACUAAUUAGAAUAGCAAGGGUAGAUUGAAAAGAGAAAAAACAACUCAUAAUAGAGACAUCAAAUUAAGUUUUGCUCACCUCAAUUCUGUAGAAAUUAAGACACCGGCGAUAGGUUGAAACAUCCAAAGACAGCCAUCAUGAUAAAGUUUAAUAAUUAGUGAGAAAGACCUGAAUUUGACUUAAUACAAAAGAAAUCAAGGAUGAAGUACUAGGUCUAGGUUGUAUCUAACAUUCAAUAAAUCAAAAUAUUGUAACGCUUGUAUAACUCGACAUAUUUGAGUUUGUUCAUAUUAUUAGUCUCAAGUCUAAAUAAUACAGCAGGGUUGUUGAUGUCUGAUGGUCAAUCAAAAAUAGUUUCUUCACUCUAUAAAGAUGGAAUCAAGGUUGAGUAUAUCUUACUCUCCUUAUAUCUUAUUAAUAAGAUUAUAUCGAGUUUGUUGUUGUUGGUGGUGAUUGUGUCAAACUUAUACACAUGCCUGUAUAUAUUUUUCCUUAGUCAAAAUAGAUUUUGCUAAUUAUGCUUUGGCCGAAUCUUAGAUCUCUUUGGUCUGAUAUGGAGAGUAUUAAUAAUAAUAAUAAUAAUAAUAAUAAAUAAUAAUAAUAAUAAUAAUAAUAAUAAAAAUAAUAAUAACAACAAUAUGCAUAUGAUAAUUUAAGUUUAUAAGUUAGUUAAAUUUAUUUAUCUUCUGUAUGAAAUUGUCACCCCUAUCAAUUUAUAUAUUUAUAUUUUAUUAGCACCUUUAAUUUAAUUAAAGAUUUUAUUCAUUUAUCCGUAAUAUCUUUUCUAAUUUUCAAAGUAUUCUUUUAAAAUAGAGCUUCUAAUUCUCUUUUUAUUCCAUUUCGUCGUUCGUGAAUCUUCUUAAAACACAUACUUUUUAAUUUUACAUUUUUUGUAAAUAAUAUCGUAACACAAUAUAAUUAAAGACAAUAAAGUAAACAAAGGAAAAAAGUGAGAAAGAGAGGAGAUCCAAACUGUUUAUCAAGAAGGUGCAGCUUGCUAACAUCUCCUCUGAUGUGAUUCAAUUGUCUCAAUUUUUCCACCUUUUCCUUCAUUAAUAUAACAAAAAAAUGUAUUAAAACUAAUUUAAAAUGGGUCAAACAGAUAUCAAUAAUUUAAAAAAAAAAUUAUGACAACUCUCUCAAUUAUACACUUUUUUAAUUAAGUCAAGCUUGUUUUGUUGAAUGAAUUAAAACAAGUCAAAAAUCACUUAGUAUUUCGUUAAUUUUGAGAAUGUUAUUUUCAGAAUCUUUUAAUUAAUACACGCUCAAUUUCAAUUUGUUUAUCUGAUUUCAUCUUGAUGUAAUUUAAUAAACUAAUAUCACUUUUGUAUCUUACGAUCUUAAACUAAAGAGAGAUAGAAUGUGUCAAAAUAAACAUGUGUUAUGUGAAAAGUUAGAAUUAAAAAGUUAUCGAAAAAGAAAAAAAAGUUUUGAUCAAAGAUCGUUAAAUGUCCUACAUUGGUGAAUAACUAAACUUCUGAGGGUAUAAUUAGUUUUGCCUAAAAUUUAACUAAACAUGGUAUAAGAGUCAAACUUGAUGUAGGCCUCAAGAAAUGGAACAGUUGUGGGGGUGGAAAUACACCACCACCACCACCCCCGUCCAUAAACAUCACACUCCGGAUCGGACAGUGUUUGAAUAAAGAAUAUCCAAAUCUGGACUUAAUAGGGUGUUACCAUGAAAUCCCACAUAAAAAUGUCUAGGUCUGGGUAUGAGAUCUGGUGUAAAGCGGUGAUGAAGGAAUGAAGUGUCCCACAUUGGUGAAUAACUAAGCUUCUGAGGGUAUAAUUAGUUUUUCCUAAAAUUUAACUAAACAUGGUAUAAGAGUCAAACUGGAUGUAGGCCUCAGGAAAUGGAACAGUUGUGGGGGUGGAAAUACACCACCCCCAUCCAUAAAUAUCACACUCCAGGGACAGUGUUUGAAUAAAGAAUAUCCAAAUCUAGACUUCAUGGGGUGUUACCAUGGAAUUCCACAUAAAAAUGUCUAGAUCUGGGUAUGAGAUCUGGUGUAAAGAGGUAGUGAAGGAAUGAAGUGUCCCAUAUCGGUGAAUAAAUAAAUUUCUGAGUUCCUUGGGUUACACAAAAGCCCUAACUUGACACAUUCUUAUUAAAAUGUAUAAUAAAAAAGAAACAAAUUGAAAUGGGUAAGAACGAGUACUAAUUUUCGUUUCAAACUUUAGCAAAUUUCAUCAUCAUAUAAAAAUUAGACGGAUUAAUCAACAUUAAUAGAAACAAGACAUAAUUUUAGAAAAUAGAAAAGUCCUACAAAUACAUAUAGAUAAUAAAUAUAUAAAAGAGUAAAGUACCUUAACAUCGGUCAUGUGACUAGCCCCAACAAAAGAAAAAAAAACUCAUAAGUUAGUGCUACACUAUAUAAGUUACUAAUAGCUAAAUAAAUAUCAAGAAAAUAAAGAAAAUAUUCGUGUACGUGAAUCUCCGCUCAACCGGAAGCAUAAGGUAUCUCUGAAGCAUAUCUUCGACUCUACAAAAAUUGCAAAUUUAGUUUUUUUUAAAAAAGUUAAUCAAGAUAAUAGUUUUAUAGAUUAAUAACUAGCACGGCAAAAUGGAGAAUUCAUAUUUUUAUUCGAAAUCAUAAAUACAAUACCUUUGUGGGCUACAGAAUUUAUUGAGACGACCAGAAGGCGAGAACGCGACAAACAACACAUCCACGUCACAGCAAAACGCAAUCUCCUCAGCUUUUUUUAAUAAACUACUACGUCGCUUAGAAAAUGUAACUUGACGUUUCGUUGUCUCUUCUAUUUUCUUUAUCUCAAUUUUUCUACCCAUCUUUAAAAGGAAUCUCUUCUCUACCUCAAAGGGAACAAUACAAUGAUUGAAAGAGCAGGCUCCAAAGUACCUAAUUUAUAAGGUCAAAAAAGCUAUUUGGGUCAAUAUGAAAUAAAUAAAAAGUUGGUCAACCUCAUCCAAACAUGGUCGUGUGCAUGUGUUAUUAAUUGUUGACUUUUGGACAAUAUUAGUCAACUGUUUGUCCUCUGCACGUGUGAUUGCAUUAAUUAAUUAAUUAAUAAUAAUAAAAAGAAAGUAGCUAAUUUAUAAGGUCAAAACGCUAUUUGAGUCAAAUGUUAAAAUAAAUAAAAAGUUGGUCAACCUCAUUCAAAUAUGGUCGUGUGAAUUAUCAUAACCAAUUUGACAUUUGGACAAUAUGAGUUAAAGUGUAUGUAUUUUGCAUGUGUGUUUGCAUUAUUAUUAUUAUUAUUAUUAUUAUUAUUAUUAUAAAUAAUAAUAAUAAUAAUAAUAAUAUAUAUAUAUAUAUAUAUAUUAGGUAAUUUACCUACGUUUCAUGCGGGCAUAUGUUAUUUUUAUAUUCUUUUGAACAAUCUUUCAUAUAAUUACUUUUAUAAGGAAAAAAAUGUAAAUUAUUGUAGUUUUUAGAACAUUUCUAAAGAAAUUAAAUGAUUUGACAUUGGCAUAUAUUUUAAAAAUUGCAAAUAUAUAAAUAUUGAUUAUAAAAUAUCUUGGUAUCUAAUUGUUUUUAUAUGUUACAUAAUUAAUCAUAUUAUAUGUUAUAUGAUAUAAUUGUCUUGUUAAAAUUGAUUGAUGUUUUAAUGUAGCGACUAAACAUAAUUUUUUAUAUUUUUUUAAUAUGAAAAAUAUAGAAUCUUAUAAUUUUAUGGUUAAAAUAACUCGUGUAAAUAGAUUUAUGUGAAAAAUUUUGAUGAUAAAUAUGAGUUAUAAAUAAAUUAAGACUGUUAAAAAUUUACACUGCAACAACAAAUAAUUUUUUUAGAGACGAUCUACUUGUGCGAGGUCAAAUGUUCACCACUUUUCGUCAUUAUUAAUUUGUUACUCUAACGACAUUUAGAAGGAGAAAAACAAAUUUGUAACAACAACAAAAUUAUAUUGUUGACUCUUAUAGAAAUUCAUUCAUCAUUAAAUUGCCGAAGGCCCUUCGAAUUCUUCAUCAAUGAAAAUUUAUGACUUUUGCAAGAAUAUUUACGUGUAGUUGUUGCAUUAUGAAAGUACAAAUCGAUAAACAUGUUUGAUAUUAGACUCAUUUUAAAAAAAUAUUCUCAAACAUUUAAAAAAUAAAAAAAGAUUCUAACCUAGAUAAUUCAAAUGCUCAGGGAACAUGAAGGAUAACAAAUAUAUGUUAAUAGACAUAUCUUUAAGAUAUUACCUUUGUUUAGAGUAGGUUUUGUUUCAUAUUCAUCAAAUUAAGCUUGAUGAAAAUAAUCACAACUUACAUUUCGUAAAAGUCGCAAUUCUUCAUAAAAGUAACAACUUUUCAUAAAAGUUGCAACUUUUCAUAAAUGUCACAACUUUUCAUGAAAAAAGUUAAAAUUUUUCAUAAAAAGUUUUAACUUUUCAUAAAAGUUAUAAUUUUUUAUGAAAGAAGAAGGCUAGUUCUGGAAAUAAAAUAAAUUUAAAGAGAAUCCUUGCUUGUGGUGGCGCCACAUAGGCAUGACUAGGAUAUAUAUAUAUAUAUAUCUUUCUAAAAAAAUAAUGAAGAAUUUGAAAGAUAAAAAUAUACUUAAAAAGAAACAUUAUAACUUACCCUUACAUUAACAAUUAAUAAAAGAGAAAGUUAUUUGUGUUAAAUAUGGAAUAAAUAAAAAGUUGGUUAACAUCACCCAAACAUGGUCGUGUGACUAUAUUAUUAAACGUUAAAUCAUCAUAAAGAAUUUAUAUUCGGAAAAUUAAUUAAAUACAUGCAUUAUGCCCGUAUAUUUAUAAUAAUAAUAAUAAUUACAUAUACACACACCAAAAAAUUAGUAUAAUUUUUUUGUAAAAUAAAUGAAGAAUUUGAAAGAUAAAAAAUAUAUUUUAAAAAGGAACAUCAUAACUCAAAUCACCCUGAUAAUUAAUUAAUGUUGUAAAUCCAUUAUAUAUGUGGAUGAUCCAUUAGAGUUAUCCAACAAUUAAUUGGAUUCAUGUAUUAGUGUUUCCAAUGUGAUAAGAUUUCAAGUGAUAUGAACCUUGAUGAUAACUAUGUAUAAUUCCAAUGUGACCUUUGGCUAUGAUAUCUCAACACUAUAAAUAGAGAUAUCAUUCACCAUUGUAUGAUACACUUGAAUAAGAAAAACUCUCUCCUCUAUCUUAUACUUCUUGUCUUUUUCUUCUUAUAUUCUGAGCUUUCUUUACAAUACGUUAUCAGCACGAAGUUGCUACUUGCAAAGAAAUCCCCAUUUGUUAGUUGGAUUCAAGAUGAGUAAUAGAGAUGUAUGUCUUCUUGAUAGUGCUACAACGCAUACAAUAUUAAAAGAAAAGAAAUACUUUUCUAAUUUGGUUAUGAAAAUGGCAUAUGUCAACACAAUAUCAAGUAGUACAAAAGUAAUUGAGGGCUCUGGAAGAGCGACCUUAUUACUAUCUAGAGGGACAAUAUUAAGCAUUGAUAAUGCAUUAUAUUGUAGUAAGUCUCAAAGAAACUUAUUCAGUUUCAAAGUAAUUCGCCAAAAUGGCUAUCAUGUUGAGACGGCUCAUGAAGGAAAUGUUGAAUACCUUUACAUUACUACAAUUAAUGUAGAGAAGAAAAGUGUGCAUGAAAAAUUACCUGCAUUUUCUUCUGGGUUGUACUAUACAAGUAUAAGUACAGUAGAAUCACAUGCCGUAGUAAAUAAAAGGUUUACUAAUUUUAUUGAUUUUAUCAUUUGGCAUGACCGGUUGGGCCAUCCCGAAUUUAAUAUGAUGCGCAAAAUCAUUGAGAAUUCACAUGGGCGCACCUUAAAAAGCCCAAAUAUCCUUCAAUCAAAGGAAUUCUCUUGUGCUGCUUGUUCUCAAGGAAAGUUGAUCAUUAAGCCAUCAACAGUUAAGGUUGGAAUUGAAUCCCUUGCGUUUCUGGAACAUAUACA
This 71333-nucleotide long non-coding RNA is filed under the name Solanum lycopersicum (tomato). RNAcentral describes it as "long non-coding RNA (SLYC_LNC000060)". The record is from RNAcentral. Lineage: Eukaryota; Viridiplantae; Streptophyta; Magnoliopsida; Solanales; Solanaceae.